ACGAAGCGUCUCUGGUGGGGAGUACGAAUGAGUCGCUGCAGAUGCGCGGCGGUUGACGAGAGUACCGGCAAAGCAGAUGCGGCGCCGUGGACAAGGCCGGCACUGAAUGGGCUGUGGUACAGUGGUGGAUGAGCAGUCUACUUGUUUCUAGGGGAGGUGGGAGGGGUAGAUGCGGCCGCAGAAGCAGAUCCGGCGAGGUGGACGCCGCUGGCAGUGAAUGGGCUAUGGUACACCGGUGGAUGAGCAGUCUAGGGUUUCGAGAGGGGAGGGGAGAAAGGGCGAUGAAGUACGGACGGCGUGAUGUAAGAUGCUCUGGUGCCGUGGAGUUAGUCGUUUUUGUGGGAGGGGGAGAGGAAAUGGGGGUGCCGUGUAGUGGGGCAACCGGAAGUUACCAAAGCAGCCCCGACCUAUCAUGUAGAUGAGGGCGGUAUUGUAACUAUUGGUCUCCGUGCACCAAGGACAAAAGGGGGAUUUUGCAUGCUAAAGACUAAGGUGGCGGAAAUUUUAGAAGGAGGCGGGAGAUUUUGCCGCCUGCGGGAUCGUUCGUAUCCAGUUUCAACUAAUUUUGGACCAUGCUAGCGGGAAGGUCAUGCUAGACUGUGUACACGGGGCACGCGUCAGCAGUUAAUAACUGGUGUGAAGUCCACCCCAGAAAAAAGACAAUAACUCGGGAUGAUGAGCCGAUAACUUGGACGUUCACACGGGCGCGGCCAAUCGUACGGGUGUAGUGGCGCGUUCACAAAAAAGGGAUCAAACGCUCAGCCUAUGUAUUUCUCGUGUAAAUAGAUAAUUUAGUGCCAUUGGUUAUUUACUUUAAACAUAAUGCAUUGACGUGUUAGUGUAGAGGCGCACAAAAAGAAAUGGAUAUUGUAGUCAGCUACUUAAAAGUGUUACCUCAUAUGAUUACAUAGCCUCCAUUUCAUAAAUUGCGUACCCGUUGAAUUCAUAUAUGAAUAUUACAUAUAUUACUUCAAAAUAGAAACUUAAAUCAUCCAAGACUAAUGAAUUUGAAUGCAAGAGUAACAAUGGUGCAUAUACAUGAUAGCUACAUUGGUUGUUUGAAGAAACAUCACUGUAACUUUGGCAUGCACAACUGAAAAGGUUUAUUUAAAUAGAAAAAAAAUGUGAUAUGUGAGUGUCCAAUCUUUAUAGCGUUGAAUCGAUAUUGUACCUUUGGCCACGAUACGAAGUAGAUAUUGACUUAUGUUCAAGCGAUGCACGUCCACGAUCGCUAGAUAGUGAUACAUGAAUGAAUUGUGCAAUCUCUCUCACACGCAUACAUAUCUCAUUUCCCUGUGGGCAUUGGAAUCACACACGCGCACUUCUUGUAUUUCUCUCCCUUUGUCAGGGUUAAAUUCGUCUUUCUACCCCGUCCUACAAGUCUCUCACACAGAAACACACACGCUCUCUAUGUCUAACACGCCCACCCCUUUAAUUCCGCCCACCCACAACCACUAAUGUCUCAAAGUAUAAUAAUGUCUCUCACACAUAUGCUAUCUACAUAUCCCUUAAUAUAGCUAGAUAUGUGUCACACAAACUCCUUCUCCCUACUAGCAAGAUGCCCAUGCGUUGCACGGAACAUCAAGAUGCAUUUGUAUGAGAAGUUUAUCUUGUGGGAGAAAAGGGUGAAUGAGGGAAUGCCUUAUUUGCAAAUGCGGAGAGGGGUGUGGGUAUCUUUUUGCAAAAUUGCCAUAGGUUCCUUCCUCUCCGUCGUAUAUAAAUCGGAUGGCCUAUAUUGCAGGAUGGCAAGAACACCAUCAUCACCAACUCUGUUUUUUAUAAGAGUAGAUAUAUGUGAGUGUCACUGCCCCCCCCCACACACACCCACACUUCCAAACACCGAAGGAGUAGGGUGACACCUCGAUCUUGAUACUAACCUAUCGACUGGCUUCUCUCUCAAACAUACACACACACACACACUACCCGACACCGAAGGAGUAGGGUGGCACAUCGAUCUUGAUAAUAAUCUAUCUACUCCUCUUUCAAACACACACACACACUCGCUAGUUGUGCCUACCGCGCACACUCUCGUACGUCUUUCUCUUCCUCCCCCCAACAAUGACAACAGAAGGGUGACAACUAGAUCUGAUCAUAAUCUGUCAAUUGGUUUCUCUCUCAAACAUUGUGUCUCGGUGCCUCGCUCGGUAGCCCCCUCGAUAUGUAGACUUCUUGCGCGCGCACAACUGUAGUGACGAUGACGCUGAACCCAGUGUGCCUUGUUUUUACCGGCCUCAUGUGAUAGUUUUCACCCUGUUUUCAGUUAAUUAACAAGGCAACCUUUUCUUUGUUACUACUAGUGAAUCUGAAAUCAUUCGGGGCAGACAUAAAAUAUAUCACUUCAACCCAAUUAUCGCAGCAACUAUUUUAAAAGAAAUUAGCUAGCUGUCUGUGCGUUGCACAGAACAUCAAGAUGCAUUUGUAUGAGUAGUUUAUCUUGAGAGAAAAGGUUGAACGAGGGAAGGCCUUAUUUGCGAACGUGGAGAGAUGUGUGGGUAUAUUUUUGCAAAAUUGCCAUAGUUUCUUUCCUAUCCGUUAGAUAUAAAUCCGACGGCCUAUAUUGCAGGAUGGCACGCACACCAUCAUCACCAACUCUGUUUUCUACUCCCUCCGUCCGAAAAUACUUGUCAUCAAAAUGGAUAAAAAGAGAUGUAUCUAAAACUAAAAUACGUCUAGAUACAUUUCCUUUUAUCCAUUUUGAUGACAAGUAUUUCCGGACGGAGGGAGUAUUUGUCUUUUUAAAGAUUUCAACAAGUAACUAUGACCGGACCUUACCAACAUACUCAAAAAAGUAGUCCAUAAUUUUGAUGUUACCCUCUUUUCUUGGCGGUGCAGUGCCAUCUGGAUACCUCAUAAAUAAAUCAAGGACAAAUCUGACCCUUCCUGAAAAGACAUACAGAGCAAAAUGAGUGAAUCUACACUCUAAAAUAUGUCUACAUACACAUCCGUAUGUGGUAGUCCAUUUGAAAUCUGAAAAAGACAAAUAUUUAGGAACGAAUGAAGUAUAUAUAAGAGUAGGCAUGGAGAUAUAUCUCCAGCAUGGUCUACAACAAAAAUGUGCUGGGCUGGUUAGCGCCGGAUGCUCGCAACGCGAUGACAUGAGUUCGAAUUCUGUCUUUUAACUUUAUAUUUUUAUAUUAUAUAUUACUCUACUUAUUUAAUAUAUACUUCUUUCGCUACUGUACUGACAGUGGAACCCACAGAGUACUUAGAAUACAAGAUUAAGGAUGGACUUGUUUCUUUUUAACUUUCUGUACGAAGCUGUAGCCACCCUGCAAGUCACGUGUACACUGUACAUGCAAUUAAAUUUUUAUAGAGGGACAAUCAUACGGGCAAUUAACUCAAAUGGAUUGGAUGUCACUCUAUUAUUUCCAGCAUAAAGAGCAUCUCCAACGGCAGCCGGCAAAUUUCCUCCCGCUUCCUUAAGCGGAGGACGACAUCAAACGCCAGCGGCAUACAUUUUUACAACUCUAACCAACCAGAUGAAAUUCGUGCAAACACGGACUGAUUUCAUAUAAGCAUGAAGGAUUUCGUAUAAAAAAGCCGGAUCUUCAUAUAAACAUGAUGGAUUUCAUUACAUUUACAUGAACUAAGAGGUGCCAAUCCGGCUCUCUUGUAUAAUUAAUACUCCCUCCGUCCUGAAAUACUUGUCCUAGAAAUGGAUGUAUCUAGACUUAUUUCAGUUCUAAAUGACCGUCCGCGGAUCCCUUUGUCUUCCUCAUGUCCGUCAGACACUUGCGGGGUCGACGAAGGUCCUCGGAAGAGACGAAGCAGCAAAGAAACCACCUGAAUCCGCGGUCGUCGCCUCAGCGGUGGCCUUCAUGGGUCCCAAGUGGCGGCGGCCUCCCGUGUUGUACUUCUCCUCGAUGAUGGCGGCGGACACGGAGAAGCCGGCCACCGACUCGUCGCUCUCCACGCACCCGGCUUCUGUCUCUGCCUGCAUGGCGCUGCCGCAGGCACGGGAGGCGCGCCCACAGACACGGGAGGCGCGGCCACCGCAGACACUGGUGGCGCGGUACGACGCGGCAGCGACGGCGCCCGUACCGGCGUGCUAGCCGCCGUGCCGGCGUGGAGCAACUCGCCACUCCUCAUCGAGCUGAACUGGAGCGGCGAGUUGCUGAACCACGCGCCUGCUUGGGGCGGCAACUGGCUCCGUCGGGCCAAGCGAGGUUGGUGAAGCACCGAGUGGCCUCGCCCGUAUCCGGAGGGCUAGGCGGGCCACCCAGACGGGUAAUAUGGCGGAGAACGGCUCAUCGGAGACCAUCGGAAGAGUGGAGAAAAUGGUGAAGGAGGAGAUGGGGGAGCGGCGGAGGGGUGCGAUUCUUGCCCGCUGUCUGUUUGGCCUCGUGUAAAUAGAGGGCGGACGGUAGGAGCUUGGCUGGCGUCUGGCCUCGUUUAAACUGAGGGCGGACGGGAGGAGCUCGGCCGGUGUUGCGCUUAAUUCCGGCCCGCUCAUGAACGGACGUGUGGCAGGAGUAGGAUUCUCGGUUUGCAUGCGGGUUUAACGGAGGGGUUUAAUGGAGGCGCCGGGCGUGCAGCGGGCGGCGCAGUACUAUUCGAUUUGACAGCAGUAAUGAGCCGUCAAAUCACAAAGGCCCUCGCCUCUCGUGAAACCGACCGAGCUAGACUGCCUCGCCCUAUAGCCUUUUAAAAAAUAUAUAUACUCCACUUUUGUACAGUAGUAGUAUCGAUGGAUUGCGCCAUGGAGCAAAAAUUGAAAUUAAAAAAAAGGUGGUACAUAUAGAGAGCGCUCGUCGCCAAAUUAUGCAUAUAGUACUAUUAAAAAGGCUUGUCACAAUAAUGGUGUCCAGCACAAGUGCACAACCCACCCCUUAAAUAAAACUAAGCACCCUGGAAUUCUUUGACAAAACUAAGCACCCUGAAAUUCUUUGACAACUAAAUUGCUGGCUAUAUGAUGUUGGCCAUAUAUAUUGUACGUAUAUAAUGUGAAGAAACGAGUGGUAGUACUAUACCAACUAAAAGAUGAAAUGUAAGAAAUAAUAGUAUGUACAUACUGAAGAGUUAAAGUAACAAGAAGAAACAUAACAUAGUUCUGCUGGGGGCUCAGCACAACACACCCCUCAAAUUAAAUUAAGCACACCUGAAAUUAAACUUUGCAACUAUUCCGGUAGACACUGCAUUAGAACCACCAUGAGCAAUGACACUGCCACCUUACUCGGAGUCCUCGUCCACGUCCACGUCCUCGACUUCGUCCUUGUCCCUCUUCCUCUUGGCCGAUACUUCUUUGCUUGAACCGCACACUUGGCUGUUGCUCUUCAUCCAACCCUUGUAGAUAUUGAAGCAAAGGUAGCCAUCCAUUGCAGCGUAGUGGAUGUGGUCUAUAUCUAGUACAUUCCGCUGCCAUGCAUGACGAUGAAACGUGUAUGGAGGUUUCUCCAGUUUACCGUACGAAGGAUGAACCAUGGCUCCUGCCAGGGUCAGCAUUGAAGGCUGACGAGAGGACACCAGCCGAUUCUUCUGGAGGUCGAAGGUGUUGCCUACAACGAGGCCUAUCCGACGCAGGACUUCUUUUUCAUUACCAAAGUCUACAAUAACGAAUUUGACUAGGUUGCUCUCGAGGAAGUCCUUAAAAUCCUGGCACUCAACGUCGGCAUGGCAUAUGUGGUAGACCAAGCAUAAGUCAUGCACGCAAACCUGGAUCAUGGCGGGCUUCUUCCUCUCUUCAUCCUUUAGAUCCUUCUCUCGUCCCAGGACUGUGGUGUACUCAACAUCUAGCCCAGCGACCCACUCAUCAUCUGAGUCUUCGAACAUGCGUCUGAAGCGAGAAAGGCAUCCUUUCACCAUCGCGGAAGAACGGGUGUAGAUGACGUCGAACUCAUCACCGGUGAUGGUUCUAACCUUGUACUCACCGCCGGUCGGGGAGAUUUGGGACACCAUGGAUUUGGGAGGAGGGUUAGGAUUAGUGGAACUGCCGUAAUGUGAAUGGACGGGACGACUAGGAGCGAACCGUCGUAGUAUGGAAGGACGUGCGGGGACGAGUAGGAGCGAACUGCCAGCGUGUGAACGGCAGGGUAGUGGCUUUCCAUUCUCCCAUGAUACGGGCUUCCGAGAGCUCUUGGAUCUGAGAUCGAACGGUUGCAUGGCGUGAUUCUAGACCUAUGGGUGAAUAUCCUAUCCCGGAGGGUUAUUCUCCAAAUUUUCAGCAACUUAGCAUGCGACCGUUUGAUCUCAGAUCCAAGGGCUGCCAGCAGCCCGUAUCGUGGUCGCGCCUACCACGACCAUCGCGUCGCUCGUGCGGUCGCGCCCUUGGAGAUUUAACACGGUGCGUUAUGCUAUCUGAUGUUGGCAUGUCAUACAUAGUCAUCACUUAGUCACUCAUACUACAACAAGGUUUUGGCUAUAAGUGUAUUUUUUUACUUCUCUGUAUCUCUUUCUUCGUACUCCCUCCGUCCCAUAAUAUAAGAACGUUUUUGACACUAGUGUAGUGCCAAAAACGUUCUUAUAUUAUGAGACACAGGGAGUACUAGUAUUUAUUCCAGUGCCAAGGAGGGACCUCUUCCAAUGAAAUGGUGUUGCUAAGUUUGCUUCAUUUAAUUAGCUAUAGACUCAAAAUUGUCUUUUCACCUAGGUACACCCGCUUAGCACCGUUUCUUUCUUGGGUCACCAAACUAGUCUCUCUCUUCUUGAUUAACUUGCCACAUCAAACUUUAUGUCUAUGUGGCAAGCUUAAGCACCUGUAGGAGCAAGUAAGUACAAUAGUGCGCUUUACAUGGCAUUUUUGCAUAUGUGGAGGAAAGAGAGGCAAGGAAAAAGUGGAGAAGUGGGCUCUCAUGCAAGAGCCAGCCUCUACUACAUGGUGGAGCAUUGGGAGAGGCACCUGUAUGGAGGUGGUCAGGAAUCGGGAGACUCACGCCGGUCGUAGCGCCGCAGUUAAAAUGAUAAUGGCAAGUCAAAUUACGGGGCCCCACCUGUCCAGCAGUAACUCGCUGUCAAAUCACACAGCCCUACGUUUGCAGCAGCCUACACCCUCGUCUUCUCGCAUCUCUGUUGAACCGACUAGGCGGAACUGCCCCGCCUACCACGCAGGAAAAGCCCGCGCAGGAUACUCCCUCCGUCUAAGUGACCAAGGUGGAGAGGAAAACGAGAGAACUUAAUGUUUAGUAUUUGCUAAGGCUGGUUGUAAUGGUACUAGCCUUAGAAAUUUUGAUGAGGUGUCAUAGAAUUAAAUGAAGAAAGAGAGAGAGUUGAGUACUAUGUGUCAUACAUGGCAAUUAAUAAAGUACUACAUGAUACUAAUAUAUGAUACAUGGCGCAAGAGUACUAAGUAUUAUUAAUACAGUUUUGCUAGAACUCAUCUAGAUGAGAUAUAAUUUGGUCUCAUUCAUCUUUUAUAGCCAUUGGAUGUGAUGCUAUAUAAGAUGUGUGUGUGUGCUGACGUGGGUUGUAUUUGUUCUUGUGCAACGAACUGACCACUGCAUGUCAUGUUUGAUACUCUCAAGUCAUUAAAAGCAUACAAGCCCCACAUCUUCUUGGUUGAUUCCUCUAUUUAUGUCAAAAAAUAAGAAACAACGUGAGAGUUAAUGCGGGCGGCGCAGUUCCCGAUACGGCUUUAAUGCAGACGAGGGAGGGAGUAGCGAUUCCCGAUAUGUUGAACGGCCACUGCAUCCUCCUUCAAUUAAUGCAUGAGGGAAGUAAUGGGAGGAGGUCUGGGAAAAGAGGCUGCCCGAUGUGAAUGCAACGCAGUUUGCCCUCAUUGCCCUCAUAUAAAGGCGCCCCUCCAUUCCAAUGCAUCUACCACAUCGUACGCACCUAAGCAUUUGCCUAAGCACCUACACUAAGGGCAAAAGAGCUCACUCCAGACCCAUGGCGGGGAUGCGCGUGAGUGGCCAGAGGCUGCGCCAGAUGGUCCACGACGCCGGCCUGCGGCAUGGCGUCGAGGAUCGUCUCCAGACGGUGUUGGAGACCGGCUGGUGGAUGGCCGCCGUCGACGCCAACUACGACUCUCAGUUGGACCAGAUGAUCAUUGCCACCAGCAACAAGUUCACCAUCCUCAAGAAGCUCGCGGACGACAUCGCCGUACUCCUCCAGCCCGCGCGCCCGGGCUCCUCAUUGCCUGCCACCCUAAUCGGCCUUCAUGGCCGGAACCUCUUUCAAGCACUGGUGGCCCUGCGACUGCCCGCCGAUGCCACGAAGAAUGUCCACCUGGAGGUCGCGCUCGCCGCGAGGCGCCUCACCCUGCAAGAAUUCGUUGACCUACACAUCCACGUGUACGAGCAAAUCGUGUACAUAGGUAUCUACAAGGCCAGUGAGGACGCUACGACGUUGGCCUUCCUCAACCGGCUGGAAGCCUUGGAUGCCUUUGCUGAGAAGCACCUCGACCUCGCCACAAAAGCCGCCGCUCCUUAGCCGCCGGUCGGUGGCCCGGCGCACUAAUUUGAGGAGGAGGAGGUCGUACGUUUGUGGAUCCAUCUUUCUUCUUGCCUUCUGUAACCACCACUACGAUCGCAUCAUCGUGGCCUUAAUUCUUAUUGUGUUGUUGCAUUCUCGUUCCAGUCAAUACCGACAUGUGCGAUCCCUUUGCUUAAUUAUAUGCAUCACUGUAACUAGUACUCCAUCCGUCAAUUUAUAAGUUGUGCUUACCUUUUCCAUCAACUUCGUGCAACGCGCGGGCAUCUUGCUAGAAACACUAGAAUAUGUCUAUAUAAUCCGUAUGUGAAAGUCCAUUUGAAAUCUCAAAAAAGACAAAUAUUUAGGUACGGAGGGAGUAAUAUAUUAGGAGUAUAUCAAAACAAUAGUGAUUUCUUUCAAGUUUGUGAACAAAUACUACUAUUCUACUACUUUAGAUCCGUCGCAACGCACGGGCACAUAGCUGGUAAAGGAAAAGGCCUGUCGCAUUCACGUCGCACCCCCACACGCCCGGGAAUCGGGAGUACAACACGGCCCGUCCGGCACGACACAUAGCUUAGGGAAGGCGUGUUGCCUAGCAUUUUCACUUUCAUGUGGGACCGCCGUUGAGCAAACCGACACCCCGCCCGCCGCCGGGUUGGAAAACAGAAACGAGGGGAAGAUCUAGCUGUAGCACGGAAGCCAAGAAAUUUGGUGUCAGACGGGGCUCGUUGAUAGAGUAGGAGCAUUCCGUACUAGUACUACUCCUACUAGUACCAAGUUUGUACUCCUAAUACUAUAUUACUAGUACUACCACUAUACAACUAGUAGGUACGUGCAUGGCACAACAUCGUAGGAACAAAAAAGGGAAGAUCUUGUUUUGGGUGAUUUAUCUUUUCUUCAAUCAACAUAGUAUGAAUAAUAUGACGUGGGGGCACCCAUGAAGCUUAUGUGGCUUGGUUGCAUGGCUACGGAAGGUUAGAGAAAAAUAAAUAGAUAAUGUGUUUAGAGUGCACUCCACUAAAUAGAUAUACUUUGGAUCCAUUGCAACGGACCAGCACAUCUAUAUCUAUACCCCCUAUAUAGUGUGUGAAAAACUUUGAAAGUUGGUCGUUGGAUGAAGCCAAUCCGACGGUACAAAUAUGGCAAAUCCGAGCACUACUGGCCGUUGGAUAUCAUCCACCAGAUUCUGCCACAUGUAUAAUCUAGAAGACUCCAUGGUUGAACUUAAUUCAUGACUAACUUUGCCACAACUAAGCUUAGGCAAAGUUAUUAGUUCUUCAAAAUGAGAGCCACAAGUUGGCAAGCCUAAGGGAAUCUUGCCACAUUUUUUGUGUGUAUCUCAUGUGGGGCCUUAGUGUGGCUUGCCUAAGGUGUGGCUUGAACCAAACACUCACCUAAGUUAAUCAAACUUGCCUAACCUUACAUUCCACCAGAUUUUGCCACAUGUUAGAAUCCAGAAAGCUCCACAUGUAGAAGCAUAAUGCACAAACCACCAGAAUCUCAUGGUGCGGGAGUACGGAUCGAGCAUAGCAGCGGAGCAGGCAAACCGCGUCCAAUCGGGUGUGUCUGUGGUAGAAAGUUGAUGGUCGCCGCAGUUCAGCUGGCCCGCAUGUCAUGCACACAAAGGCAGAGGAGCGGUGGGGCCGAGAGGGAUGAGGGGCUCGUCGGGGGGAUGAGGAUCCCCUGACGCGAACAAUCCUACCAUUCUGUCACUGACAUGUGGGACCCAUAAGCGUGGGUCCCACCUGUCAGCGAAGGAAAGGCAGGGCAAGGCAGUGAUAGCCACGUCAGAGGAUCCAUGUCCAUGUCGGGGGACGUCGUGUCGUGGGUUGGAGUGGCGUCGUGGGAAUCGCGUGCGGGUGUGGCAGUGGUAGAAACAAGAAACGUGAUGGUCGCCGUGGUUCAACUUCCAUGGACAAGCUGUCAUGUCUGUUGACACAUGUAUAUCAAAACUAGAGUGUUUAUAUUUCAAGCACGUGAACAAGUAUUAUUCUACUACUUUGGAUCCAUUGCAACGCACGGGCCAGCACAUUGGUAGUAGUAGUGUCCAUCUCUAUCUCUAGAGGCCUUCCCUCGUUUAUCCUUUUCUCUCACAAGAUAAACUACUCAUACAAAUGCAUCUUGAUGUUCCGUGGAACGCACGAGGAUGUUUCCUUGGGGGUCUCUCCAGCGCGGCGUGGCCGUAGUUGCAAGUUGACGCCCCUUGAGAUGCCGACGUUGAGGGGCACUCGGAUUUCCUCCGAUGAGCAGGUAAGAUGAGUUUGAUCAUGUAGUAAAUGCAUUCUAAAGACUACUUCCAUGUCCAUUUCCUAAUUCUUCCCCUGCCCACUGUUUCACAGGUUAGGCUCGGUGCGAGUGGAGAUUGGCUUGCAUAUGUACGGGAGGGUACCAACAUCAAUUUGCACAACAUUUACAACGGUGACACCGUUCCCGUAGAACCUUUGUCCAACAUUGGGAUCAGCCAUGCAACGGGCCACCGCAUGAAUUGGUACAAUGGAACCACGGUGAGAUUGAAUAAGAUAGCACGAACCUUGCACAUGGCGGUCAAAGGCGGACCAUGCUGUCUGCGGCCGAUUUGUUGCCGUACGAGUAGGAAGACGCUGUGCUCCUUUCUAACCGCAUCUUCGCGGUGACAAACCAGGGGACUUAUUUUGUAUGGGACACAUCCUACGAUAUACUCCCUCUCUCCCAGUUUAUUUGUUUUGAAUCUUUUCGUUUUAUAAGUUUCAAAUUCAAAUUUAGAGCUCCCCAUCACAUGUUGAGAUUACAAUGUCCAUUAAAUUGUUGCGUGCAUGUAUAGUAAAGAAACAAAUCUCGAGUUUGGCACGAGUUCGUGCUGCGGGAGCACCACAAGCCCUGGCGCAGGAGUUACAUUUCCCUCUCAGGGCCGUCGGGACUGAGCUUCAGCGCCAUACUACACCUACCUUUGAGUCAAUAACAUGUGGACCCGAUAGGUGACUGGUCCACAUGUAAUGCUCUCGUAGGCAGAGGGGCAGUGGGGCCAAGAGGGGUGAGCCGUAGGUCGGGGGACGUGUGGUUUCAUGGGUUCGAGCGGCGUCGUGGGAAUCGCGGGUGGCUGUGGUAGAAACUUGAUGCUCGCUGCAUUUUAGGUGGCCCACAUGUCAUGCACACAAAGGUAGAGGGGCGGUGCGGCCGAGAGGGGUGAGGCGCACGUCGGGGGGCAUGGUGUCGUGGGUUGGAGAGGCGUCGUGGGAAUCGCGAGAUGAAACGUGAUGGUCGCCGUAGUUGAACUUCCAUGGACAAGCUGUCAUGUCUACGGACACAUGCACUGCAUACCGAUCACUGGAAGGAGUAGCAGAGAAAGCUAUAUAUGCGGAUAAAUAGUUCCUUAUAGUCAAGCGGACCCACGCUACUACUCUGUUCAAAAGACAUGCACACCAUCGAAAUAGUCCAUCUAUAUCAAUAUACACCGAGAGGGAAUAAUUUUUUUUACAAGAGAGGAAAUAGUUCAUCCAUCCAUAAUACCCUCCUGCUGGUGCAGCCUUUUCUUCUUCUUCUUCUUCUUCUUCUUCUUCUCAUUCUUUGUGGGAGACGGCUUCACAACAAGCUCUUUGGAUCUUGCAGCUAUCUCGAAACUCACACCAGCAUCGAGGGCAGCAUAUUUUAUCCGCUCGUACGUCAAGGGAUAAUUCUCCCAUCCAGACGACCUUAAUGCCACCGUCUCGUCACCCUUCUGAAGAUUUGUACCGAGCACAAAAUUUGCUACGUCGAUUAGGAAUGGUGUCUGUUUAUCACAAUCUUCUACAGGAAUUUUGAUUCUGGUUUGUAGGUCAGCGAUGCUUUUCAAAUCAAGGUUGUACGACUCCAGCUUCUGUUUGUCCCCUUCGAUGGCUGCCCGACAGAAGUAUACGUCCUCCCGAGACAAGAAAUCAUGAAGCUCAGCUGGUAUGGAGGGCGAGUGUAUGAUGUGGUACACCAAAACAUCAUCUUUGAGGCACAGCUGAAGGACGGCGGCGCGCUGGAUCUUCCCAGGGGCACGCUCCGUGUACUCUGCGUCGAGACUGAUGACCCUCGUCUCGACCUUUUCGAGGGAGUUGGAUACAUUGUUGAUCCACUGCCGAACAACCGUUGGGUGGUCGGUGACGGUGGCAACUAUGUGCAUCGAGCCUUCGACGAGGACAUGUUGGAUGCUAAAAACAUGCAUCUCGAUCUCUUUCGCCAUUUGGAACAGCUGGAACGGAGGGCUAUGGUUUGGAGAAUUAAGAUUAGAUGGCUAGUCUAACUGAAGUAGUAGAUGAUUAUUUAAAGAGGUUAAAACAAUGUGAACGCAGUGGGGUUUGGAUGCAAAUGAAGAUGAAGGGGAGGUGAAGAAGCCGAGGAGAAUCGGUUCCCGAUGGAGAAGUAAAUGGGAGAAGUGGCGUGCAGGCAGUUGAUUAGACGGCUAGGUAGACUAAACGAAAAGGCUAUGCGGGUAGACUGAUGAGUCGUACCUGUUCGUCUACAUGCCCAUCCUUCCUGAUAGGUGGGACCUAUGCAAACAGAUAAAAAAAUGUGUUGUAGUUUAUCUUUUGAGCGCGUGAGUGGGAGACACAACAUUCUCUGGAUAAGGAAUACUCCCUCCAUUUAGGUGAUUAUAAGUCACCUUAUGAAAAUCAGGUUUUCCCAAAACCUUUAGGCGUGGAGCAUUAACUUCCUGCUCGAUCCCCUCCUAGCCUCGUUAGCCAGCGUUCUCUUCCUCUGCUGCCGCGUUCUACCUUUCCAUUUUUCCUCUUCUCAAGUGUGGAACGAUCUGCAUGCCAUCCUUGAUGCACCAGAAUGACCACUGCAUGCAUCACGGUAGGGCGUUGAUUGGGCAUGCACGAGAAUUUGGUUCUGCGCGCAAUAUGGAUGAUACCUGAAUGAUGAAGUGAACAGGCAUGCUAGCACGGGAGACCUAUUUCCGCUAUACAAUACUGGAGUACUCAUGUUCCUACUAGUAGUAGUAGUAGUAGUACAACUGUGGUACACUUGAUGGUCAAAAUACUAUUCAUCCGGUCCUCACAGUGAAGUGACAACACCCUGCGCCUGACACUAGUCCAGGCGGCAUGUUCGGGUUACCAAAGUCAGCCUCACCCUGUGCACUGUGCAGUCUGUCACCGCCGUUGUAUAGCACAUUGGCGCCUCGCCUCGUCUCCCUCUCCGCUCCCAUAGCACCACUCCAUCUCCAUCUCCUUCUCCGUCUCCGUCUGCAUCUCACUGUGCCCCCGUGUACCGUCGGCUCACUCGCCUCCCCCAGUACCACUAUUCCCUCGCUAGCCGCUCCAGCACCGACAUCCUUCUCCCCCGUAAAUCAAGCCCCCUUCCAAACUCCACCAUGGCCGAACGCGAACCGCGCUGCAUCCAUAUGAGCCGCGAUUGGAGCAAUCUCCCCAGUGACAUCCUCGACCUCUGUUGUUCGUGUAUGGAUAUAUUAAGCGCCCUGCGGCUGGCUGCAUGCUCGAGGGACAUGCACACGGCCAUCGUCGAAGCGAGGCCUAAGCUUUUCAGGACACCCUGCUUGCUUCUAUCUGGUCUUGCGAGAUUGGCUCACCAUGAUACGGAGGCGUGCAUGAUGCCCCUCGACUUCAAUCUGAUCUCCAUUAGCCGAAACUUCUUUGCUGGUAUGUAGUGGGUCGCCGUACAUCAUUUCCCUCGACAUCGAUCCGAUCACCAUCACGCGAAACUUCUUGGCAGGUAUGUACUGGGUCGGCAUGAACUCCCACUGGAUGGCUGCCUUCAGAGAAGAUGGUAAAAAGUUGGUGCUCCUGAACUUCCAGACCUCCCAUGAGAUUAUCCUUCCUCCGUUGGAUUAUAUAGAGUAUUACCAUCGCGGUCCAAGUCAUCUAGAUUACUACGUUAGUUGGACGGACCUUGUUUUGCAGAAGAUUGUAAUCUGCCAAGAGCCCACACGACAUGCGAAUUACGCAGACUUCAAGCUUAUUGCCUUGUUCGACCGCGGACUCGCCUAUCUUUACGUCGGUGCCUUCUUUAGCUGGAGCAACUCGGCUCGCAGUGGAUCAUCGUCAAAGCUGAUACACACUUCUGUGAUGCUAUUGAACACAAUGGCAUCAUCUACGCGAUCGACAAAGCAGAUGGCACCACGUAUUGCUGGGACAGCACGUGUAAGUUGUUUCCUUCUCAUGUUAAUGAUGACAUCCUGACACUGUUUGAACUUUUUGUGAUGAUUGGCAUAUCCCUGUUUGAGCAGAAUUUGAGUAGAACUAUGGCAAUGUAUUAGAGACGCCAUAAAUCAGCUAUAUUUGGAAUGAGUUAAUUCAUGCGAUUGUGACCAUGUCAUUACAGCCAAUUUGUACCCUGAAUAAUCAAACGGUUAGGAAUAUAUGGAUAUUAUCCUUAUUUUACAGUAAUCUAUAUACUACUACUAAAUAUGAGUGUGUAUCAAUGGCCAUGUUAGUUUCCUCAUUUUCAUGAUGUAGAAACAUGCACCACACUGUUGGUUUCAUCUAACCAUACAUUAGGGAAGUAAAUGUGCAUAUGGAGAACUCUAUAUUUGGAAGUAGUGUAAUCCUGCAAUGCUUACCAUGUGUACAUACCUAUAUUUGCCCUUCAGCAAUCAAUGGCUAGAAUAAUAUCCUCACAAAAAUUUUGCCCACAGAACACGAGUAUAUAACAAUGCAUGGUCUGUUAGUUACCUUGAAGAAUUUGUUUGUGAGGACAGAACAUGAUUACUCCCUCCGUUCCCAAAUAUUUGUCUUUCUAGAGAUUUUAACAAGUAACUACAUACGGAGCAAAAUGAGUGAAUCGACACUCUAAAAUAUGUCUACAUACAUCCGUAUGUCGUGUCUAUUUGAAAUGCCUAGAAAGACAAAUAUUUGGGAACGGAGGGAGUACAUAACAUGCAUGACAUGGUAGUUUCCUAUGAAGAAUCGAUUGCGAGAUAACAUGAGUGUAACCAUGCAUGGCACUUCUAUAUUUUCGAACCCAGUAUACAUUUCCCUGUAUUUUCCUCCCAGUUCCAACAGGGACAUAUCAAUGUUGUUUCUUGCAUUAUCCUACUCAUACUCUGAACAAUGCUGAUCUUACAUUAACAAUGCCUGUCCUUUUUGAUAUGAUGCAGUGUCCCUACAGUUACUGCCCUUUGUAAUCACACCACCUUUGCCAAAAACAGGGAAGCACAACUGGUUCCUCGCUCGAUCAGACGACGACAAAAGACUGAUGAUCAUUCGGACACAUGAGCCGGAAAAGUUAUAUUGCAAAAACCCCACUAUAUACAAGCACCGUGUAAUACGUGAGUAUCCGGACAGUGGCUGUUACGUCUAUGAGCAGGAUACCAACUUGUUGGGGCCUUUAGGAUUUUUUAGUUGGAGGCGGGUAAACAGCCUUGGUUCACACUCUCUAUUUCUCGGACUCAAUUAUACGAUUAACCAGGAGAUCACCGUUGGCAAGGACCUUGAUGGCAGAGAGGCUCUGUUAGCUAUGGAAAACUGUGUCUACACGGCGAGCCCUAGGAGUUCGGGAGCAAACUCCCCUGAUUGUCAACGAUACAGCCUGCAGCCAAAAGAAGGUGAGAAUGACAAAGGCAUCCGGAUUAACUUUGAUCCUUGGAUGUCUCAAUUACGACAGGCAGUGAUGUGGUUCAAGCCUUCAGGUUGAUAGGUAAUUGGGUUGUUGCAUCGAAAGGGUGGAGUACUGGUGUCUCCGGAUCACUGGUCGCUGAAGCGGGGCUGCAAAUUAUGAUGGUGUUGGAUCAUCUCUUCGAAUGACUUUGUUGUCUUUGCUGCUGGUUCUGGAUGGGUACUUCUUUCUUUUGUUAUGCAUAUUCCUUGUCAUUUGGUCAUCCUCGUCUAUGUCACUCUUACUAUGUAAUAGUUGCUUCUGUUUAGAAUGUCAUUCUCGUCUAGAUCACGAGAGUCUGAGCGCUGCAGAUGGGUGCGUUUUGGUGGUGUAGCAAGACUUCUUAUGAACUAUCAUGUCUUGCUGUUUAUGCCAGUAGUAGUCACUAGUCAGUGUUUGAAUGUUGUAUAUAUCGUUGUUUCGAACUAUUUAUUGUCUCGAACUACUGGUGGGCUAAAUGAGGGCAUCACCAUUCUCCAGUGUUCAGAGUAUAUCUCCUUUUUUCAAGUUAUAUAAUUUGAGCUCAGUGUCUUUUCGAUGAUGUACACUUGUUUGGGCCAGUGAGGUGUCGUUGAAUAUGGGCCGAGUAGUAACGCAAUGCCAAACAGGUCAAUUAUGACUCUCAGGCCGGGCUCUCAAAAGAUCCUGAAAAAAAGGUCGGGCUCUCCAAAAAAGAAAGAAUAAGGACUCUUAUGCCGACAUGUGGGCGCCACUGGUGUUUUCGUGCGCUUGCGCGCCUAGAGCAUAUUGGUGCGUGCUCGAAAUUCAUGCUACCUUUUCAUCCCCAGUCUCCCGCCCCUCCCCCACCUCUGGAAUCUCGAUUCCUACUCCAGCUCCCCCAAAUCCCCCUCAUGUACUCCCUGUACUCAAGCGCACUAUCAUGUCGCCGGUCAACGCGGAUCUCCAAGCCGGAGAUCCUGAGGUCCGUCCUGCCUUCGGUCGCUGCGUGCUGUCGCUCAACAGUGGCAUGGCGACGCUUGAUGACCAGUUUGCCGGCAAAGUGCUGAUGGUAACCAUCAACGGCGACCGGCCUCCCGUCUCGCCGGACGACCUUGUCAAAGCUCUUGGCAUUGCGCACGGCAUCCAAAUAAGUGACUUGCUCGUCGAAGUCUGUCCGCCACCGGCUGAUUUCUUCGUCAGGUUCCGAACAACUUUCGACUGCAGUCGUGUGUUCGAAUCUUCCCGAUGUUUGUUCUGCGAUGGCACGCUGGUGAGCUUUGAUCGGUGGCACCCAGGAUGGGGCUCGGUGCCCUCUGAGCUUGAGUUUUUAACAAAGCUUACCUUCCACGGCAUGCCUCGACGUGCUUGGAACAGCGAGUCCAUGAACAAGCUUAUCAACGACCUUGGAGGUGAGCUCGUAAGUAUGUUUGUUCCUCCAGACAGCUGGGCUCUGGUGGUUAUGGCAUGGAUGAAGAAGCCGUCCACCAUACCGAAGGUGAUUGGUGUUGAGAUAUCGGUGCAGGAACCGGGGUUGUACUAUUCGUCGCCACCAAGGCCGCCGCGGACCACGUUAGGGAUGUACCUGUAUCGAGUGUUCGUGCAUGUCGAAGAAGUGGUCAAUCCAUCAAUCGAAGUCCUGCCGCCGCCGCUGGUGCCAGGGUCCGUCGACGACGUCCAUUAUAGGAGUCAACGUCAGACUUUCCCCGUGUUGCUCGGAACGAUGGAUGGCACAGGGCCUACUCCAGCGCGCGGUGGAGGCCACUGCUUCUUUGGGAGAAGAGGCAGGGCUGGCUGCCUGGAUGUGCUCUAAUUUGAGGUAACAACUGAAUCUUGUCAGAUACUAGUUAAAUCCGAGCUAUGGGUGUGAAGCACUGAUAUGCCAGUACAUUUGAUUGUGACCUGUUCUAAUUUUGUACCUGAACUUUUUUUAGAAAGGGUUGUACGUCAACUUAAUGUGCUAGCAGAACUUAUUGUGUUGUUUGUCUGUUUUCUUUGCACAACAUUCAAGAUAUUUCCCCGUCAUUGAUAAAGACGAUGAACCGUUAUAUAUGACUUCGUUGGUUUCAACAUAGCCCUUCCCGUAGCGAUCCACUGCUUCCAUCCUGAUUGUGCCGCCUGCGUGAAAUUUUUGUAUGCAAUUUCAGUGUGCUAUGAUGUUCUAUAUGAUUGUGCCAACUAUAUAAGUUCUUACUGAGCAUCGGCAAUGCAUAUGGCUGAAAGAUGUAUUUACGAGCAUCAACGGAUGGGUCUCUCUCUCUCUAUCUCUCUCUCUCUCUCUCUCUCUCACGCACACACACGCACACACACGCGCACACGCACAAGUGGGACCCGUUGAAUUAUUUAUUUGCUCGUGACAGCUUUUAAUCAGGUUCCACUGUAAUCUAACUUUUUUCUUAAAUUAUUAAUUGAGCUCAGUGACUUCAAAAAGUUGUACAGAAGCCUUGUUUGGACCUUUCCGGCGUCGCUGAAUGUGGGCUGAGUAACCAUGUUAGGUUGUACUGUACUACACAGGCCUUUUUUCAACAUCAGCAAUGCAACUGGGCCGACAGUUGUACACAAUAUCCGGGUCAACUUGUUAUUCUCCGCCUCGCAGGGCUGCAAACUUUCCUAGGAGGAUGCAUUAGGCUUAACAAGAAAAUGGACUUUAAGAAAUAAUAAAUGGUAUGUAAUUAUAAUAACUGGACAGUUACUAUGCACCAAACACGUAAUUAGUUUGAAAAAUAUAUUAUUUUUGGAAUUUGAAAAUUUUAAUUUCAUUACGUGUUGCGCGCGCAAUAUUUCGUUGGAUUUUAACGUAAUACAACUUUAUUUUGAAAUUAUAUUUGACCUGACUAGAAAUUUCGGAUAAAAAUAUCUCGGAUCCCAUCAAAAUGUGGGAAUUUUUUUAAUUCUGUUUUGAGCAGUUGUUUGAAAUUAUUAAUCGUUGUCCUAGCUAGAAGUUGGGCUACUUUUAACAAACUGUAAAUGGGCUGUAGUAAAUUCCAUUAGAAUUAAAAAUGGGUUGUACAUUCUUACAAAUCGCAAAUGGGCUAUAUGUUCUCUGCCAAAUCCGAGCUGUGGGCCUACUAAGUUGACGCGUACCAAGGGCUUUGUCAACUUAGUCAAUAUAAACGAUUCUAGCUGGAGUGAACGUACGAUGUCCAUCCAACGGCCGUAGUGCUUCUUGAACCUCUGGUCUUCUUGCUCCAGCCGCCCAAAGCAGCGCCGGUCGUGUCGCGUGCUCCUGCCUCCCGUGGCCGGCUGUGAUGCCAUGGAGGCCUCACCGGCCCGUACUACUCACACCGCUGGCCAGGCCAUCCCACUAGUCACCCACACCCCUGUUAUCUGUGGCGACGGCAGCCUCACACCACAGCUGAACCAGUGAACCCUCGUACUCCUCUCCGUGUGGGCUUCCACUGCUGCGUCCUCCCCGGCUCCGCGUCGUCCCCUUCCUAGGCCUCGCCGUCGUCCAGACCACCGCCCUGGAGCUCUCGGCGCGGCGUGGUCAACGUGGUCAACGAUCGACUUCCAUCGAAAGAGUACUGUACGUGGAGAGGCUGACAGCUGGGUCCAGGCGGCCGUAAGGAAGUGCCUCCUUAUUACGCGCAAAAUAAUUAUUCCUCCACCUGACAGCAGGGACCCACCGGACGGGCCACCUUAUUUUGCGAAAAAAUGUUUCCCCCCUGACUGCUGGGACCCACCGGACGAACCAGCGUAUUUCGCGAAAAAAAGUUCGCCCCGCUAUCCGCUCGGACCCACCGGAACUGCCUCCUUAUUACGCACAAAAUAAUGAAUACUCCCCUUGCUAGCUGGGACCCACCAUGGUGGGAGGCUGACUUGUGGGCCUACUAAGUUGACUGGGACGGGGGCCUUUGUCAACUUUAGUCAAUAUGAACGAUUCUGGCUCCAGUGACCGUACGAUGUCCAUCCAAUGGCCGUAGUGCUUCUUCAACCUCACCUCUGGUCUUCUUGCUCCAGCCGCCCAAAGCAGCGCCGGUCGUGCCGCAUGCUCCUGCCUCCCGUGGCCGGCUGUGCUGCCGCGGAGGCCUCACCGCCCGCUACUAUUCCCACCGCUGGCCAGGCCCUACGGCGACGGCAGCCUCACACCGCAGCCGAACCAGUGAACCCUCGUACUCCUCUCCGCGCGGGCUUCCACUGCCGCGUCUUCCCCGGCUCCCCGUCAUCCCCUUCCUAGGCCUCGCCGUCGUCCACCGCCCUGGUGCUCUCGGCGCGGCGUGGUCAACGUGGUCAAGGAACGACUUCCAUCGGACGUGGACUGUACGUGGAGAGGCUGACAGCUGGGUCCACGGCCGCAGCAAGGAAGUGCCUCCUUAUUACGCGGAAAAUAAUGAUUCCUCCACCUGACAGCGGGGACCCACCGGACGGGCCACCGUAUUUCGUGAAAAAAACGUUUCCCCCUGACUGCGGGGACCCACCAGCUACAUCUUCACACGCAAGGAAGUGCGUCCGGGCAAAAAAAAACGAUUCGCCCCCCUGACUGCUGGGACCCACCAGCUACAUCUUCGCAGGCAAGGAAGUUCCUGACAGUCGGGACCCACCUGGUCGAAGCAUAUGUAGCAUUGUCAUUCUGGUCGCGAAGGUGUACGUACAUACUGGUCGAUGUAGAGGCGCGCACGUGUCGUAGUAGAGACGCGCACGUAGCCUGUACACGUACGUACAACGGCCAGUGUGCAAGAAAGAAAAUACGGCCACGUACGUACAUAUGGGCAGGGUCUCGAACGCCUACUCGUGCAUACGUACGGCCAGGGCUCGUGUACAUGCCUGGGUCAGAACGGAGAAACAGCGUCGUCGUGUUCAUGGGGAGCCAACCGGCUGGGUCGGAACGGAAUGCGUCGUCGUGUUCAUCGGGAGGGCUUCGACGGAACAGCCGAUGCAAACGAGGCCUGGCAUACCGCAGAACGGAGGAAACAGCCUUUUGUUCGACCGGCCACGUUUGAAACAGGAUCCUGUUCAUCGGGAGGGGUCCGGCGUACCGCAAAACGGAGGAAACGGACCUCCUACGGUCGAAACGGGGGUCCUGUUGAUCGGGAGGGGUGUGGCGUACCGCAAAACGGAGGAAACGGACUUGUGUUGGAGCGCUACGGUCGAAACGGGGGUCCUGUUCAUCGGGAGGGGUGUGGCGUACCGCAAGACGAGACUCCACGGGACACUGUUCAUCUCCACCGUCGACCCCCUCCAGCCUCCACGGGCUAUUGUUCGUCCACCGUCGAUCUCCUCCAGCCUCCACCUGCGACUGUUCAUCCACGGGCUCCUGUUCAUCCAGCCUCCACCACGCGCUAUUCGACCGGCUACUGUUCAACCAGCCCUCUCCACGGCCUCCUAUUCAACCACCCCUCCACGGGCUACUGUUCAUCCAGCCCUCCACCGUCUACUGUUCAUUCUGCCCUCCACGGGGUGGUCCUGUUCAUCCUGCCCUCCACGGGGUCCUGUUCAUCCAGCCCCAACCGGCUCGAUCAAUCGGGGUCCUGUUCAUCCAGAGGCAACACCACGGGGUCCUGUUCAUCCACCCCCACCGGGAACUGUUCAUCCAACCCCCCCAGCAACGCUCACUAUUCAUCCAGAGGCAGCAUCGAUCGGCAUCAGUUAGAAGCAGUAGCGAAGGAAUCGCUCGAUCGGGUUCAGUUAACAGCCAUCGAUCGAUCGCUCGGGUUCAGUAACGCGUAGCCUGCAGUGCAAUCGCUCGGGUUCAGUUAGAGCCCAACGCCUCGCUCGGGUUCAGUUAGAGCCAACGCCUCACACACACGCGCGUACGUGUACGAGAGAAACGCGCAUCGCUCGGCCCCCGACCUCCCACCGUAACCGGGAACUCCCCGAAAUUUUCCUCGCCCUCGCUUCUACCACGGUUUUUCCCGUCAUGGACGGCCCAAAGAAUGUCAUGCAGCUGCGUCUCCGGCCCGCCCAGGAUGAAAAGCCCAUUUUCUGUCAUGAUUUUUUGUCAUAGAAGUAGGAGCCCACCACAUCUAUGAUGAUACCGGGUUUUGUCACAAUUAUCAUCAUAGAAGUGUCAUAUGUAUGACAGAAAAAAUUUCGUUCGGCCCAAAAUGUCAUGGAUGUGUCUUUUUUUUGUAGUGUAAGAGAGACUUUGUUGCUAGUAAGCACGCUAAAGAAAGAGAACCAUGGGUUCUGAAACCCAUGCCCUUUCCUCCCAAACCAUCCAAGAAAAAGGAUGAUGAGGAUUUUGAGCGCUUUGCUGAAAUGAUUAGACCUAUCUUUUUGCGUAUGCGUUUUACUGAUAUGCUUAAAAUGAAUCCUUAUGCUAAGUAUAUGAAGGAUAUUGGUAAAAAUAAAAGAAAGAUACCGGAAGCUGAAAUUUCCACCAUGCUUGCCAAUUAUACUUUUAAGGGUGGAAUACCUAAGAAACUAGGAGAUCCAGGACUACCAACUAUACCAUGCUCCAUUAAAAGAAACUAUGUUAGAACUGCUUUAUGUGAUCUUGGAGCCGGUGUUAGUGUUAUGCCUCUCUCUUUAUAUCGUAGACUUGAUUUGAAUAAGUUGACACCUACUGAAAUAUCUUUGCAAAUGGCUGAUAAAUCAACCGCUAUACCUGUCAGUAUUUGUGAGGAUGUGCCUGUUGUGGUUGCAAACGUUACUAUUUUAACAGACUUUGUUAUUCUUGAUAUUCCCGAGGACGAUUGUAUGUCGAUUAUCCUUGGUAGACCCUUUUUGAAUACUGCAGGGGCUGUUAUUGAUUGCAACAAAGGCAAUGUCACUUUUCAUGUUAAUGGUAAUGAGCAUACGGUACAGUUUCCGAGGAAACAACCUCAAGUCCAUAGUAUAAACUCUGUUGGAAAAUUUUCAACUAUUACUAUUGGAGGUUUUGAAUUUCCUCUUCCUACUGUCAAGAAGAAAUAUGAUAUUCUUGUUGUUGGGGAUGUGCAUAUCCCCGUUGAGGUAACCUAGUGUUAUUCGAAAUUUCUCCGGUUCCAUGUUAUCAAAAAGAGUUUGUUAACAAGACUUGAUCAACCUUGUUAGUGGAUUCCUUUUGAUGAGCAUGAUAUGGAUGAAGUUAGAAAGCACAACCUUCUGUACCCUCCUUUUACUUUCUGUUAUUUAGAUUAAAUAAAGCAAAAAUAGUAUUUUCUCUCUGUUUUUUGAAUUAUCCGUGCAAUAAAAAUACCCCAAAAAUAAAAGUUCUCCAAAUGCCCUGAAAAUGAAAUAUGAUUUUUUCCGGAUUUUUUUAGAAUAUCUGGCACUGAGAACACAUCAGGGGGAGCAAGCAUCUGGCCACGAGGGUCCAGCACGCGCCCACCCCCUGGGCGUGCCCCCCUGCCUCGUGGGCCCCUGGUGGCCCCCCUCCACUUAUUCCAGCCACCACACACUCCUUCUUCGUCCCAAAAAAUCACCAACCAGCUCAAGCACGAGUUCUAGCUCAUCUUGCUGCCAUUUUGGAUCUCCUUGCUCAAAGCUCCACUCACAAAACUGCUUUGGAGGAUUGUUCUUCGGUAUGUGACUCCUCUAAUGGUCCAAUUAGUUUUUGUUCUAGUGCUUUAUUUAUUGCAAAUUUUUGCUGCUUAGGUGACCACGUUCUUGAGCUUGCAUGUCAAAUUUAUAUGGUUCCAAGUAGUUCUAAUGCAUGAUAUAGUCUCUAGGCACUUGUGGGAGUAGUUGCUAUUAAUUUUGUUGAGUUUGGUUCACUUUUAUUUUAAGUUACUAAAAAUUUCAGAAAUUUUCAGAAAAUGAUGAAGAUAUUUUUGAGGGGCUCUUCGAGCCGAAGCUCGAAGGAUAAGCAAAGUGAAGAGGAUAAGAGGCCCAAAUAUAAUCUCCCUCACACCACGGAGGUUCGGCCGUGUGAAUGGCCUUGUGAUGAUUUCUUGAGGGCAGCCGGGAUUCAUGAGGAUUUUUAUUAUUUGGCUGAGAAUGCGGGCCUCACCGACUUCCUUCGCGACCAGCACGAACAGUAUCUCCUACUCACUAAUAUUUUUGUGCAAAAUUUUCAUUUCCAUGCUAGGAGAUCACCACCCUCAGUGGAUUUUUAUUUAUAUGAUGAGUAUAAGGAGAUGACCCUUUUUGAUUUCUGCCGGAUCUAUAAGAUACCCUUUACGGGCAGCAUAGAGGAACCACAUCGUAAUGAUGUGGAAGGGUUCAUUGAUAUGAUUGCUGUAGGGGAAACAAGGAAAGUUUCCGAUGCAAGAAUCACUAGCAUACAAUUUCCGGUUCUGCAUUACUUUGCGAUAUUUGCUAGUAGAUGUUUAAUUGGUCGCGGAAACUGUGGAAACCUUAGUGCCCCUGAUAUUUUUAUUUUGGGCCAUGCCUUGUUUCGUGAUAACACUUUUAGUCUAGGCGCUAUUGUUGCCAAGCGGUUAAAUCUGAACCGCACGAAGGGUCCCAUCUUGGGAGGUAUCUUCGCCUCGCACCUCGCUGCACACUUUAACAUACCUACUAGGCAUUAUGAGAAAGAAGAAAUGUUGUUGCCUCCUGUUUUUCUAGACUAUAAGAGUAUGGUAGCACAUGAUUUUAUAGUUAAGAAUAAGAAAAGGAUGCUUAACUACAGACUAAUAUUUGAUAAAGAUCACCCUGAGACUAUUACUUUGCCUGCUCCUUCUUUGUUUAACUUAUCUACAUGCAAGUAUCUUGUUCUGCCGGAGGCAUUUCAUGCCUACCAGAGCCUCACACCAACUCCAGAGCCAGAGCAGGAACCACAACUUGAUCCUCCAUGUCAUUCUGUUUACUAGUGGGAUCCGGAGGAGAUCGCCAAUCAGUGGUACCCCGAGGCUCCAUCUCAGUACGACCCCAACUACAACUUUGGAUAUCCGCCAGGCCACCCAUGGCCAUAGACCAACUUAGGCCAAAAGCCUAAGCUUGGGGGAGUACGUAUCUCUCACCGACAUUACAUUCAUGUUCACACACUCAUUUUAAUUGUCGGUGCUCAUACUUUUUCAUUGUAUUAUCCAUGCUAGUUUAUUUUCCUUUCUUGCUUUCUUCUUGUGUGUUUGAAAAACCUUAAGAAAAACCAAAAAAAUUAGUUGUAGCUUUUAGUUAGUUUACUUUCCAUGCCUGUUGUAGUAAUAAUUGAAAGAAAACCCAAAAAGAUUUCUUGUUUUUUUUGCUUGUUGGGAGCUUUCCCGUGUAAAUAGUUUUAUUUCUUUCCUUUUCUUUGGGGGUCGAGAGGAGAAGACCAUAAUGAAAUUGUUGAAGUGGCUCUUAUAUGCAUAAUUGUUGAUUUAACAAAGAGCCCAUAUUAUCUUGUCUUCCCCUUUGCAUUGAAUGCCUGCAGAUUCCAGCUUAGUCCAAUGCACGUGCACUAUUAUUAUUAUCCACAUUGUUCGGUCGUGCAAGUGAAAGGAGCUGGUAUGAACUCGACCUCUCUUGUUUUUGUAAAUAUGAUUAGUUCAUCGUUCCUGAUUCAGCCUAUUAUGAAUGAACAUGUUUGCAAUGACAAUUAGAGAUUAUAGUUGCUUAUGCCAUGCUUAAUUAGCUAGGAAUUUAUAAUGGUUUACCUUGCGUGCCAACAUGCUAUUAAAAUGGUUGUGAUGUGGUAUGAUAGGGUGGUAUCCUCCUUUGAAUGAUUCAAGUGGCUUGACUUGGCACAUGUUCACACAUGUAGUUGAAACAAAAUCAACAUAGCCUCCACGAUAUUUAUGUUCAUGGUGGAUUAUAUCCUACUCAUGCUUGCACUCAAUGUUUAUUAAUCUUGAUGCAUGUUCAUGACUGUUGUCGCUCUCUAGUUGGUCGCUUCCCAGUCUUUUUCUAGCCUUCACUUGUACUAAGCGGGAAUACUGCUUGUGCAUCCACUUCCAUAAACCCCAAAGUUAUUCCAUAUGAGUCCACCAUACCUUUCUAUAUGUGGUAUCUACCUGCCGUUCCAAGUAAAUUUGUAUGUGCCAAACUCUAAACCUUCAAAUGAAAUUCUGUUUCAUAUGCUCGAAUAGCUCAUGUAUCAACUAGGGCUGUCUGUAUCUUCCAUGCUAGGCGGGUUAUUCUCAAAAGGAGUGGACUCCGCUCCUCACUCACAAGAAAAUGGCUGGUCACUGGGAUGCCCAGUCCCAUGCUCUAAGCAGAUCAAAUCGAAAUAAUUGCAAACAAAACUCCCCCAGGGUUGUUCCUAGUUGGAGGCACUCGUUGUUUCGAGCAAGCCAUGGAUUGAUGCUUGUUGGUGGAGGGGGAGUAUAAACUUUACCAUUCUGCUUGGGAACCGCCUAUAGUGUGUGUAGCAUGGAAGAUAUCGAGAUCUCUCGGUUGUUAUGUUGACAAUGAAAGUAUGCCGCUCAAAAUAUUAUUUAUCUCUGCUUUAAAAUCGAGCUCUGGCACCUCUACAAAUCCCUGCUUCCCUCUGCGAAGGGCCUAUCUAUUUACUUUUAUGUUAAGUCAUCACCCUCUUAUUAAAAAGCACCAGCUGGAGAGCAUCGUUGUCAUUUGCAUCCAUUACUAUUAAUUUAUAUUGAGUAUGACUAUGACUGGAUCUCUUUUACCAUGAAUUACAAUGUUUAGUCAGUCCUUGAUCUUCAAAGGUGCUCUAGAUUUAUGUUUUGCGGUCUCAGAAAGGUCUAGCGAGAUAUCAUCUUGUUAUAUCAUAUUAUAAUUGUUUUGAGAAAGUGUUGUCAUCCGAGAUUUAUUAUUAUUGCUCGCUAGUUGAUUAUGCCAUUGAUAUGAGUAAACAUGAGACCUAAGCGUUAUUGUGAAUAUGGUUAGUUCAUAAUCUUUGCUGAAAACUUGAAUGCUGUCUUUACAUAUUUGCAACAACAAGAGCAAACAGAGUUUGUAAAAGUUUGUAUUUAUCACUUUCAGUUUAUCAACUGAAUUGCUUGAGGACAAGUAAAGGUUUAAGCUUGGGGGAGUUGAUACGUCUCCAUCGUAUCUACUUUUCCAAACACUUUUGCCCUUGUUUUGGACUCUAACUUGCAUGAUUUGAAUGGAACUAACCCGGACUGACGCUGUUUUCAGCAGAAUUGCCAUGGCGUUAUUUUUGUGCAGAAAUAAAAGUUCUCGAAAUGACCUGAAACUUCACGGAGAAUAUUUUUGGAAUUAAUAAAAAAUACUGGCGAAAGAAUCAAGGCCAGGGGGCCCACACCCUGUCCACGAGGGUGAGGGGCGCGCCUACCCCCCUGGGCGCGCCCCCUGCCUCGUGGGCCCAAUGGUGCUCCACCGGCCUCAACUCCAACUCUAUAUAUUCAGGUUCGGGGAGGAAAAAAUCAAGAAGAAGGAUUCAUCGCGUUUUACGAUACGGAGCCGCCGCCAAGCCCUAAUCUCUCUCGGGAGGGCUGAUCUGGAGUCCGUUCGGGGCUCCGGAGAGGGGAAUCCGUCGCCAUCGUCAUCAUCAACCUUCCUCCAUCACCAAUUUCAUGAUGCUCAUCGCCGUGCGUGAGUAAUUCCAUCGUAGGCUCGCUGGACGGUGAUGGGUUGGAUGAGAUUUACCAUGUAAUCGGGUUAGUUUUGUUAGGGUUUGAUCCCUAGUAUCCAUUAUGUUCUGAGAUUGAUGGUUCUAUGACUUUGCUAUGCUUAAUGCUUGUCACUAGGGCCCGAGUGCCAUGAUUUCAGAUCUGAACCUAUUAUGUUUUCAUGAAUACAUGUGAGUUCUUGAUCCUAUCUUGCAAGUCUAUAGUCACCUACUAUGUGUUCUGAUCCCGCAACCCCAAAGUGACAAUAAUCGGGACCACUACCGGUGAUGACCGUAGUUUGAGGAGUUCAUGUAUUCACUAAGUGUUAAUGCUUUGGUCCGGUACUCUAUUAAAAAGAUGCCUUAAUAUCCCUUCGUUUCCAAUAGGACUCCGCUGCCACGGGAGGGUAGGACAAAAGAUGUCAUGCAAGUUCUUUUCCAUAAGCACAUAUGACUAUAUUCGGAAUACAUGCCUACAUUACAUUGAUGAAUUGGAGCUAGUUCUGUGUCACCCUAUGUUAUAACUAUUGCAUGAGGAAUCACAUCCGGCAUAAUUCUCCAUCACCGAUCCAAUGUCUAUGAGCUUUUCACAUAUUGAUCUUUGCUUAGUUACUUUUCCGUUGCCACUGUUACAAUUACUACAAAGCUGCUACUAUUACUUUUGCCACCAUUACCGUUACUUCCAUACUACUUUGCUACUAAAUACUUCGCUGCAGAUACUAAGUUAUCCAGGUGUGGUUGAAUUGACAACUCAAUUGCUAAUACUUGAGAAUAUUCUUUGGCUCCCCUUGUGUUGAAUCAAUAAAUUUGGGUUGAAUACUCUACCCUCGAAAACUGUUGCGACCCCCUAUACUUGUGGGUUAUCUGUGCUCCACCGACCUCAACUCCAACUCUAUAUAUUCACAUUCAGGGAGAAAAAAAAUCAGAGAGAAGGAUUCAUCACGUUUUACGAUAUGGAGCCGCCGCCAAGCCCUAAUCUCUCUCGGGAGGGCUGAUCUGGAGUCCGUUUGGGGCUCUGGAGAGGGGAAUCCGUCGCCAUCGUCAUCAUCAACCUUCCUCCAUCACCAAUUUCAUGAUGCUCACCGCCGUGCGUGAGUAAUUCCAUCGUAGGCUUGCUGGGCGGUGAUGGGUUGGAUGAGAUUUACCAUGCAAUCGAGUUAGUUUUGUUAGGGUUUGAUCCCUAGUAUCCACUAUGUUCUGAGAUUGAUGUUGCUAUGACUUUGCUAUGCUUAAUGCUUGUCACUAGGGCCCGAGUGCCAUGAUUUCAGAUCUGAACCUAUUAUGUUUUCAUGAAUAUAUGUGAGUUCUUGAUCCCAUCUUGCAAGUCUAUAGUCACCUAUUAUGUGUUAUGAUCUGUUAACCCCGAAGUGACAAUAAUCGGGAUACUUACCGGUGAUGACCAUAGUUUGAGGAGUUCAUGUAUUCACUAAGUGUUAAUGCUUUGGUCUGGUACUCUAUUAAAAGGAGGCCUUAAUAUCCCUUAGUUUUCAAUAGGACCCCGCUGCCACGGGGGGGUAGGACAAAAGAUGUCAUGCAAGUUCUUUUCCAUAAGCACGUAUGACUAUAUUCGGAAUACAUGCCUACAUUACAUUGAUGAAUUGGAGCUAGUUCUGUGUCACCCUAUGUUAUAAAUAUGGCAUGAGGAAUCGCAUCCGGCAUAAUUCUCCAUCACCGAUCCAAUGCCUACGAGCUUUUCACAUAUUGUUCUUUGCUUAGUUACUUUACCGUUGCCACUGUUACAAUUACUACAAAGCUACUACUGUUACUUUUGCCAUUGUUACCGUUACUUCCAUACUACUUUGCUACUAAAUACUUUGCUGCAGAUAUUAAGUUAUCUAGGUGUGGUUGAAUUGACAACUCAGCUGCUAAUACUUGAGAAUAUUCUUUGGCUCCCCUUGUGUCGAAUCAAUAAAUGUGGGUUGAAUACUCUACCCUCGAAAACUGUUGUGAUCCCCUGUAAUUGUGGGUUAUCAACUAGCUAAUUGAUGCAUUAAUUGUUUUGGUAUGUACACAUAUUAACUCUCUUCUUUCUUCUUUUCUAGCCCUCCGGAUCGAGCCAAACUUCGGUAAUGAGACGAGGCCCGAAGAAAAAGUUGCGCCAGGAUGAAAGGUUCACGAUCACAGCAAUCAAGGGCGAUGGCCAACCGAUUGAACCCAACCGGACCAAGGAAGCAUUUUCUGCUCAGUGCGGGGUUCUUGUUAGGGACAUGAUCCCGAUCAGCAUCCACCAAUGGAAUAAGCCUAAGAGCGGAGACCCUCAAGUGUCUUAUGUCAAGGAUAGACAGAAAGAUGAUCUUUGGACCACAUUGAAGGCAAAUUUCACCCUACCGCCAGAGGAGGAUCCAGAUAAGCCAGUUAUAGAGCCAUUGGUCAAGGCUCAUGCUCUUAAGAAGAUGGCAGAUAUAUUCAGGAGGUGGAAGAAUGAGUUGAAAUCAACGUUUGUCGACAAAGGGAAGAAUCCAGAAUUCACCAGCCUAUUUGAGAAGAUAAGAGAUCACUGACCCGCAUUUGUGGCCCACAAGACAUCGGAGAAGAGUAAGAAGAUGUCAGCGACAAACAAGAUAAAUGCUGCAAAGAAGGAGCAUCACCAUCGCACGGGGUCAGGUGGCUACCUCAAAGCCCGGCCGUUGUGGGACAAGGCUGAGAAUGACCUGCUUGAUAAAGGGGUUGAACCAGAGACAUUGAACUGGCCAGACCGUUCAAGGACUUGGUUCUUCGGGGUUGGGGGAACCUUGGACCCUGAAACAGGGAAGUGCCGUUGGACGGACCAGCAACUGGAAAUACCUGUCAAGAAGCUUCAGAAGUAUAUCACCGCAGUGCAGCAAGGGACGUUCAUUCCCGACAGAGAGAACGACGAGCUCACACAGGCCCUCGGCAAUCCUGAGCACCCUGGACGAACACGAGGCACGGCAGGCUCCGUUGCGUGCAAGGUUGGGUUUCCCGGCGCAGGCGGUUACAAAACCCGUGAGAGGAAGAGGAAAGUGGAGCAGACCGAACUGCAGAAGCUGAAUGCAACUAUAAGAGCGCUAGAGGAACAGGCAUUUCACAGCCAGCGACCUGCCGGAGCUACCCCAGAAGCUACCCCGCCAUAUCAGCGGAAAGCUGCGUGGCUUCCACCGAGCUCCUUCAGCAGCCUAACUUCACGGAUCCCAGCUACCCCGUGGAUGAUAUCACGGAGGCUCAAGAUUUCCACCUUAUGGCACAAUGGCAGAACCUCAAAGUCAAGGCGGCUGUCGGCUCUGUUGCACCUCCUGAACCCGGCACAACUUUUCACUGCCUUCCGAUUCCACAAGGCUAUGCUGUUGUGUUGGUCGAUGAAAUAACGGAGGGAUUUGAGGAGCUCGAGCUUGACCACCCUACCGGUGAAGGGGAGACUCAGCUGGGUCUUGCUCUGAAGACUCCAUGUCUAUGGCGGAAGGAGCUCAUCAACCUUUCAAACUGGACACCUCCGCCUCCUCCACCUCCGACGACGAGUCAGGGCACUCCGCCUCCUCCUACGGCGAGUGAUCAAGGCACUCCGCCUCCUUCUCCGGCUGCUCCGACGCGUGGCGGCACUCCGCCUCCUUCUCCGUUUAGGUCGGCGCGUCCGAGCAGCCCGACUCCUCCCCCGCCUCGUCAGCAACAGCGGAAGACAGCCGCCGCCGCUCCGGCUGCUCCGGCGUGUCGUAGCACUCCGCCUCCUUCUUCUCCUCCUCGUAAGCAACGAAAGAAGACAGCCGCAGCCGCUCCGGCUGCUUCGGCGUCUAGCAGUACAGCCAGAGGCGGGAGGCAAUACAGAUUCGGUCCAUCUCUCAAGCCUCUAGAUAAGUUACCAUAUGAGAUGACCGAGGAGGAAAAUGCAGAGAUCUGUCAAGCUUGUGUGAAGGACUUUUUUGGAAAGAAACAUCCACCUCCGGAGGAGAAGAUAGAUCCAGUGAAAGUUCAGCGCACUUUGGAUGCCCUGAAGUGGCCACCACCUUCUCCGCCGCAAACCAACUAUGAUCGCAUUAUUGAAAGGUCAUAUAAGGAAGCGUCCCGGUUGGGAAGUACUUGCAGUGAUCGAAGGUUAGCAUAACGAAGAAGUGGGAAAAAAUUCCCCAGCUCGGCGAACAAGCGAACCAAUCGUGCCCCUCGCUCAAGGUGUCUAGCGAUAUCGUCGCUAAUCAUCCGGGGGUGGUGCCCCGUACCAAUCCUGGAGAUUACCUGCCCGACGAUGCACAUUUUGAUACAAUGGAGGUGGACGAAUUCAAAUACCAGCACGGGAAGCCUCUCGUCAAACCUGGUCAUCCUCCUCUAACAACGAUGAUGCGAAGAUCCCAUGAGUGGUACAUGGACACCUGCAGCAAGUCUGGGAAGGAUACUUUGACGCUGAGAGUUAGAGAGGAGCACAACCUCGUUGGAAUUGAUUUGUUGUCUGUUCCAUUUGAGGAGUUCUUCCAGUCUUUCAAUCAAAAGGCCCUCGAUAAAACAAUCGUCACUUGCUACUGUCUAUAAGUACUACUUUUGUAAUUAAGUCUCUAUAUAUAGCUCAGCUCUUUCAUUGCAUGUAUAUAUAAUUAUCCUCGCUAUAUGAUGCAGAUUGAAGAUCGUCAAAUGCAGAAAAGCACAAAUCUAUGAUAUUGGGUUCAUUAACACAAAUCUCAUAGAUGAAUGGACGGUUAAAUAUGAUGCCAAACAAACCGAGGCCAACUUGCUACGAUCGUUGCUUCAAAAUCAAAACAAAGAUAAAAUACUCUUUCCUUACAACUUCAAGUGAGUGUUACUGUCUUGUGCAUAUUAGGUUUCCCUUAUUACUCGAGGUUAUAGUAAUGUAAUUGAUGAGUUAUGCAUGUGUGCGCAGCUUCCACUUUAUUCUGCUAGAGAUUAAGCUUGAGCAGGGACUAGUAACCGUCAUAGACUCGAGACGAAAAGAUCUCGAGGAGUAUGCGGCCGUGACUAAAAUGCUCGAGAAGUAAGUUCAAUCGACCAUUAUCGCACCAUAUCGGCAACUUUGUUCAUUUCACAAGUAAUUGUUUUCUUUGUCUGGCAGGGUUUGGAAAGAGUUCAUCGCAGAAGCUCCGGGACUGCCGGGGGAGCUGCGAUUUACACACCCGAAAGUAAGUACUACUAGCUAGUUCCGCGCAUCCCCCAUUAAUUCUAGCUAGUUUCAUCAAUACCAUUUAGCAUGCUUGCUUAUCAGUUUGAGUGACCUCUAUUUCUUGUAAAGUGGUUGUGGCAGGAACCCGGGAAUAAUUACUGUGGAUACUACGUUUGCGAGUUCAUCCGCCACACGACCUCUGAGCGGGGCUACUCUAAAAAACAAUAUGAAGUGCGUAAGCAAUAAUAUUCACAAUUUUAUUUUAUUACCAUCAUUUGGGUUGAGUUUCAUUCAUAUAUAUGUAUUAACCCCCUUCUUCAAAUUAGAUGUUUCAGAUGCGGGAUGAACUCCUACCACAAGAUCGCAUACAAGCAAUUCAAGAGGGAUUGGCGGGAUUCUUUCUUGACCACAUCAUCAAUAAAGCCGGAGAAUACCAUGUGGAACUUGAGUUCAGAUGUUAGGGGAUUGUAAGAGAUCUUAUAUUGUAUAUAUGUAGCCAGUAGCGUCGGAUAGAUAUACGAAAACUUGUUGUUCGACCAAUCUCUCGGAGAAGGAGAGGUCGAUCACUUCUCUCUGUAUAUGUUCAUGACGAUCUUGUGUACUUAAUGGUUUCCUUCAUUUGCUUACUAGCUAGCGUGUCGAGUCCUCUCUAUACGUAUAGUACAGAGUGUCGACCAAGCACGGAGAUAAGAGAGGACACUUCUCUCUAUUAGCUAGCUAACACAAUAUAUGAAACCCCUAAAUUAACCCUACAAAACCCCCAAACCCCCUUAAAAAAACAAAAAACCCAACCCUGAACUGCUGACGCGUGGAUGCUUUUUGGUCCCUGUUGGUGCUACCAACCGGGACAAAAGGCCCUCUUGCCUAGGCAAGCCGCAGCGGCCACGUGGAGCCCCAUCUGUCCCGGUUCGUAGGAGAACCGGGACUAAAGGUAUUGGGCUAUAGUACCGACAUUUAGUCCCGGUUCUGGAACCGGGACAAAUUGGCCUCUGGAACCAGGACAAAUGGGCAUUUUUCUACUAUUGGUAGUGUGCUUGAGACCAAGAAUGCCCGUCCCUACAUAUUAUUGAGUCCGCUCCUAGCAUGCCUUUUCCAGUCAGUCUCCCCUCAUACCGCGAUUGAGGGAGACCAAUCUUCUUAAGGUUAGGAAGGAAGUCAACACAAAACCCAAUGACCUCCUCUGUUUGAUGGCCCGUGGAGAUGCUUCCUUCUGGCCUAGCACGGUUACAAACUCAUUUCUUUAAGACUCCCAUGAACUCUCAAAAGGGAACAUAUUGUGUAGAAAUAGACGGCCCAGAAUGGCAAUCUCGUCGACUAGAUGAGCUAGGACGUGCGUCAUGAUAUUGAAGAAGGAUGGUGGGAACACCAGCUCGAAACUGACAAGACAUUGCACCAGAUCACUCCUUAACCUUGGUAGGAUUUCUGGAUCGAUCACCUUCUGAGAGAUUGCAUUGAAGAAUGCACAUAGCUUCACAGUGGCUAAUCGACCGUUUUUCGGUAGAAGCCCCCUCAAUGCAACCGGAAGCAGUUGCGUCAUAAUCACGUGGCAGUCAUGAGACUUUAGGUUCUGAAACAUUUUCUCUGCUGGGGCGGCGGGUCUCGGGUGAGGCGGUGUCGAGGUCUUGGAUGCUGAGGCGGCGGUCCUGGUGGUGGUUGCGCGGUGCUCUUGGGCAGAGCCCGUGCCUUGGUGCUGCCCGGUUACCAUGGUCGUCUGGGCGGCGUGGUUGCCGGGGUGUGGCGUUCGGUGGCUGUGAAUGUUGGCCGAGGUGAAAACCUGCUCUAUCUUCGGACGGACCGGCGGUGGCGAAGAUCGUUCCCUUCCUGAACGUGUCGUCACGGCUCUCAUUACCCGUCAUGCGGCUCCGGGGGAAACUCUGAUCCUUGGAUCGGGCGGUGGCGACGCUCCGGCAUCGUAUCCUUCCUGAAGGCGCCGCCUUGGAGCGCAUGGUCCGUCAUAUGUAGCUUCAUCUCUUCGGGGCGGUAGUGCUAGGAGUGGUGUUGCUGCGCUCAGGGCCUAUGUAUCCUGUCCUGGGUGUGUGCGUGGGUUGCGGUGGCGUGGCAUGUGUUUGUACUGGAUGCUUGUGGUUUGAUGCUUUAUAUAUAAAGCGGGGCGAAAGCCUUUUUCGGUAAACAUUUUCUCUGCCAUAUUUAUUAUUCCCUUUAUAUUCGACGAGAAGCCAGACAGGACCUUCAUACUGAGCAGGCAUUCAAAGAAGAUUUCCUUCUCUUCUUUGGUAAGAGCAUAGCUGGCAGGACCAUCAUACUACUUUGGAGGCAUGCCGUCUUUUUCGUGCACACGUUGCUGGUCCUUCCGUGCCUCCGGUGUAUCUUUUGUCUUCCCAUACAUGCCCAAGAAGCCUAGCAGGUUCACGCAAAGAUUCUUCGUCAAGUGCAUCACGUCAAUUGCAGAGCGGACCUCUAGGUCUUUCCAGUAGGGUAUGUCCCAAAAUAUAGAUUUCUUCUUCCACAUGGGUGCGCGUCCCUCAGCGUCAUUCGAAACAGAUAGUCCGCCGGGACCCUUUCAAUAGCUUACAUGUAAAUCAUUGACCGUAGCAAGUAUGUGAUCACCAGUACGGACGGCGGGCUUCUUCCAGUGAUCUGCCUCGCCUUUGAAAUGCUUGCCUUUCUUUCGACAUUGAUGGUUGGUCGGAAGAAAUCGACGAUGCCCCAAGUACACAUUCUCCCUGCAUUUGUCCAAAUAUAUACAUUCGGUGUCAUCUAAACAGUGCGUGCAUGCAUGGUAUCCCUUAUUUGUCUGUCCUGAAAGGUUACUGAGAUCAGGCCAAUCAUUGAUGGUUACAAACAGCAACACAUGUAGGUCAAAUUCCUGCUGGUCUUGCUCAUCCCACACACAUACACCUUAUCCAUUCCACAGCUGUAAAAGUUCUUCAACUAAUGGCCUUAGGUACACAUCAAUGUCGUUGCCGGGUUGUUUAGGGCCUUGGAUGAGAACUGGCAUCAUAAUGAACUUUCGCUUCAUGCACAACCAAGGAGGAAGGUUAUAGAUACAUAGAGUCACGGGCCAGGUGCUAUGAUUGCUGCUCUGCUCCCCAAAAGGAUUAAUGCCAUCCGUGCUUAAACCAAACCAUAUGUUCCUUGCAUCACCUGCAAAGUCCCCCCACUUUCUCUCAAUUUUUCUCCACUGCGACCCGUCAGCGGGUGCUCUCAACCUCCCGACUUUCUUACGGUCCUCUUUGUGCCAUCGCAUCAACUUGGCAUGCUCUUUAUUUCUGAACAGACGUUUCAACCAUGGUAUUAUAGGAGCAUACCACAUCACCUUGGCAGGAACCCUCUUCCUGGGCCGCUCGCCGUCAACAUCACCAGGGUAAUCUCGUCUGAUCUUAUACCGCAAUGCACCGCAUACCGGGCAUGCGUUCAAAUCCUCGUACGCACCGCGGUAGAGGAUGCAGUCAUUAGGGCAUGCAUGUAUCUUCUGCACCUCCAAUUCUAGAGGGUAUAGAACCUUCUUUGCUCCAUACGUACUGUUGGGCAAUUCGUUAUCCUUUGGAAGCUUCAUCUUCAAUAUUUUCAGUAGCUUCUCAAAUCCGUUUUAAGAUACACCCACUACAAAAAAAUACACUUCCGUGAUGAUACGUGUAUGUCAUAGUAGGUCACGUUUUCUGUCAUGCAUGUACAUCCAUGACAAAUUUAUGACAGAAUCAAGAUAGUCAUACCUGUGCUGUCGUAGAAGUGUUCCAUGACAUUACCAAAAUUAUCAUCAUGGAAGUGUCCACUUCCAUGACGAUAAAUCGCGCGUCACAGAAGUGCUUUCGUCAAGGGUGACCGACACGUGGCAUCCACUGUAACGGAACGUCGUUAAGCUAUCGGGUCCAGUUUUGGAUUUGAUAACCCAUUAACAGCCCCGACCAAUGGGGAUUUUCCACGUGUAAAAUCAUCAUUGGCUGGAGGAAACACGUGUCGGCUCACCGUUGGGACAGAUGUCAUCCACUCAUUGGACCCAAAGCGCCUAUGAUACGUCGACACAUGGCACGGCCCAACAGAGGCCCAUAUAGGUUAAAAAGGUCGGCCCGCCCGUAGUACUUACUCAGGUACUAGUGGGCCAGCCCAAUAACGGCCUGCUUAAUAAAGGCCCAUUUACGGCCCGAAGCCAGAUCUGGCCCGUUAAUUGUUUGCCGAAUAUUUGGGCUCAUUUACGGCCCGAAGCCAGAUCUGGCCCGUUAAUUGUUCAUCGAAUAUUCAGGCCCAAUUACAUCCCAGUGACUUUUGGCCUAUUAGAGGCCCGAUGUAGACUUGGGCCCAUUUCAGCCCGGUGUGACUUUCGGCCUGGGAAUGGCCCGUGCUGCCCAUGGGCCAUAUAUGGUCCGACGGGACAUCGGGCCCACUAACGGCCCGUGAUAAAGGUGGCAAUAGUUAAGCCCAACGUGACUUUGGGCCUGUUAAAGGCCUGUCGCAUAAUUCCGCCCGUUGAUGUCUGUACUAAGCUUUCGGCCUCUUAAAGGCCCAUGAUAUCAGUGGGCCAACUAAGGCCCGAGAUAUGUUUCGGCCUGGUAACUGCCCGUGAUAUAACUGGGCCCAAAAAGGCCCGGUCUACAUUUCAGCAUGCUGAAGGCCCGUCAACGACUAGUGAAAAUUGAGGCCCAAUAUGCAUUUUGGCCUGCUAAAGGCCCAUGGUUUCAUCUGGGCCGUAACACCAGUACAAUAUUCAGCCUGUUAAUGGCCCAAUGCUACCUGGGCCAAACUAAGCACUGGGUCCACAAAAGGCCCAACUAAAAUAUAGGCCGGUGUAAGUUGUGGGCCUCGCGCAAAGUGUGAAGGCCCCAAUGAUUCGGGCACAAGAAAGAUGCAGGCCGACCCAAUUGUGGCCCGCUAAACACCAGGCCUGUUAGAGGCGAAUGUUUCGGCCCGGUCGACUACAUCUGAUUUUUUUCAGAUAGCGAAUGAUGGCAGUAACUAGUAGGAAUUAAGAACAAACCUACUCUAUACAAUAAAGAAAUUACGUCAUAGUAACUAAGAAUAAACCUACACUAUACAAUAAAGGAUUUAUGGUAUAUUACAUCCACUGGGCAUCGAAGUUCGCCACCAGUGAUCAUAACGCGCAACGAAGAAGCAGAUUACAAAAACUGGGCACCAUUGCAGCGUAACAAAAUAAUACUGAACCGAGACCACUUCCAAGACAGUUCAAGAAAGGUUAGCCUUGCGCGAGAACUGCUGCGCAAGCUGCUGAGCAAGGUUGUGAGACCGGCCUAGCAUGUCGGUCAUAGCUUCCAGGUGUAGCUGUUUAGCGAUGAGGUUCUCAUUGGUGUUCUCCGCAAUCUUUCUUAGAGAUAGGACUUCAAGUCGAAGUUGAGUUGCAGAAUGCCUUUCUGCUAGAACUUGGGACUGAAGAAGUCAAACUAAUUCAGACAACGAAUUGUGUGAGCUUGUUUGACUGCUAGUCUCAAGUAACUUGAACACUGCAUCAAGACGAGACUUUGGGGUUGUCUCGCUAUCUUCAAGAUGUUUUGCCUUCUUUGCUGCAAUAUAUGUUGGGUUUGUCUCACAGCCUUCUGCAGACUUGUGCAUGCCAUCAGGCAUAUCACCCUGAAACAAAGCAUAGAGAUGACAGGUUUUGCACGUGUAUAAACAAAGAUGAUAACUGUGCUGUCAAUUCCAUCCAAUUUCAAAUUAGAAAAUAAAGAGUAAGUUCAAAAUAUCAAUAGCAUAAUUUGGCAUUGUUCAUAAUGCGGGGAGCUUCACCACACUACUGGAUUAUCAUGUCAACAUAACAAGCAUAUAUGAAGGGCAAAGAAAAUCAUUGUAUCUAUUUUGGUUAAUGUGCAUGGCAUGUUGUUCAUAUCAUCAGCCACAUCAGUAAGAUAAAACAGGAGAUGACAAGGUGCAAACAUGGGCUGCUUCACCACACACUGGAUUAUAGAUCCACAAAAACAAGGAUACAUAUAGAGAGUAUUGAGUAAUGUGCAUGGUAUGAAUAAGGAAUUUGGUUUUACAAGUAAAACUUAGAACUUACGGUUCUUGCGAACAUGCAUUUUGGUAGAAACAGCCAACUAAACAGCAGUAAACGAUAGGGAGUAUGAGCAAAUUAAACAGCAGUUGAGGAUAAAGGCUUUAGAAGGAUUGACUUACAUUAACAGUUAACACCGGCUUUAUAAUGCCCUUCUCCAUGUCAAGGGAAGGAUAACUCAAGAAUUUCAGCACAGAAUCUUCUUCAUAAGCAUUGCCUGUACUCUACAUUUUGUAGAGAGUAAUUAUAGAUAUGAUAAUACUGGAAGGGAUAGAGGAUAAUGAAGAUAAGAUGCAGAUUGAUGCUACAUAAUCAACUACCAAUCCCCGAAAGUACAAGCAUUACAGGACAAAAUGCAUUGACAAGAGCAAUGGGCUACACUUCUGCACUGGCAUUGUCUGUGUAUUCUACUUUUUGGUAAGAUUGAAUAUAGAUCUGAUCUUUUUUAGUAAAUGGUGGGCGAGGGAUAUAAGAUGCAGAAUGCUACACAAUGAACCAAUCCCUCUUCCCAUAAUACAAGAGUGUUUUGAACACUGGUGGACUGUACAAAACGUUCUUAUAUUUUGGGACGGAGGGAAUAGUUGUUAAUGUAAGUACAGUGAUAGACGACGUUCAGUCCUUACAAGAGGACUGCAAAGCUAAACCUCUUCAAAAGCAUUGGGUUGAUUCUAAAUUUAUGUAAGAGUCCAUACGGAUCUUAUAAUGUCCACCAAAUGGACGAUAACGAGGCUAACAUGUGCAGUGAUGCUACAUAAUCAAACAGCUAUGAAAGUAAGUAUGGCCAUACGGGGCAAGAGGUACUCACAAGAGCAAUGCAGUGUGCAGUAUAGUUGCGAGAUUAUGUGGUCCCUUGAGAAUGAAUGUUCUUCUGCUAACAGUUUUUUUACAAGUGAGAUGUUAAGGCAAAUGCAGAAAUAUAGUUCAAAUUGUGAUGUGAUAUCAUAGAUAGUACCUUACGCUGCAGCCGAGACCAAUGUGUAACAAGAUUAUUCCAGUCACCGUCGGAUAAAUGUAGCACCGGAGACUUUACAGAAAAUUCAUUUAGAGGCUUGCCAUCGAAGUGCGCUUGCCUCAGGUAGGAACGAUACUUCAUCAACGAGUGCUUGAAAAGCGCAACCAACCCUUGCUCGUCUUCACAAUCCAGUUUGGUCCUCGCCUAUUUAAAAGAAUGAAAUCUUGUGUCUUCUGUCAGCAGAAACAUAUGCAGUAAUGACCAUGAAUAACAUUAGUACAUUACUUACGCGUAAGUUGCGGAGGAAGACUGGAAAUUGUUCUGUGUCUGCGGUAUAAUCUUUCCAUGAAGGAAAGAUGCGCACAAAGUUCCUGACAACAAUAUAAGCUUUGUCUUCUAAACUGGGAAGAAAUGGAAUAGGGGUCCUAUUUGCUGCAAUUGGGGCUCUCUCUGGUUCGAAAAGGGAUUUGGCAACUGGAUUUGGUGUACUCUUAGCUGGAAUGGGGGUUUUGCAUCGUAGAGCUGGUGCUAUGUCAACUAACAUAAUCAUAAUGUUUGCUGCAGUUGGGGUCUGCUGAGUUGGGGCAUCAGAAAUGACCAGUGUAGUAGGGCUAGAGUCUGCUAGAGUUGGGGUGUUUUGUGGGUCAGGUGAUAUUGCAACUACACCUAAUGGGCUAUUUGAUUUAUCAGGUGCCACUACCUUUUCCAAAUACUUUGCUUGUGCUCCUCCAUGAUCAUCAAUCGCCCUCUUCCUUUUGAACGUCUGAUACACAAGAACAUCAUUUGAAUGGAUAAAUAUGGUAUGAUGACAGAUGGAAUAUGUACUGAAAAUGGAUUGGCAGGGCGUAUUCACACACACGAUGUGUAAACUAAGCUAAUGGCAGUUCAACAAAGUAGAAGCAAUGCAAAGCAUCAGUUGCAAGAUAUGUGCGACAAAUAUAACCUUGGAAAGUUAGAGCAAGCACCUUGAUGGGUGAAUAAGAUAGCACAUCUUCCUCUGACUCCUCCACUAGGGAGCUACAUUGACUUAGGUCUCCCUCUAGCUCAGAAUCACUAUUAGGAUCAUAUUCUGAGCAUGAAUCUGUAGGUGGAGAGCGUUUGCAUUGCAUUGCAUCCAGACUUGAUUUCAGUCCCUUAAUGCCAAGUUUGACAGCCAUGGCAUUGUUCUGCUUUAUUCUUUUCAUGGGCGCAAGCUCAUAAUCAUUAUGAUGUUGUUCAGAAUCUGAGAUUCAUGAGAACAUAAAAAGAAGUCAGAUUAUCUAUGGAAUGCAUUGCAGAUUCAACUCGAAGAGUGUCUCCCUAUAAACCCCUGCAUAUGCAAAGUUCACCCCCCAACCGUGCUGACCAGACCACACACAGAAAUACAAACCCCUUAUGUCUCUAUAACAGGUAGACACACAUUUCAAAACUGAAGUAGGAACAUUAGAAUCAUAUGAAAUUCGUAUUUGAACAAAUAAACUAAGGAAUUAUGAGUGGCAUAAUGUUUAGCUUCAAGGGUGGAGUGUUGGUAGUGCGACACAAAGCAAGUAGGCAGAUUGUAUUCCAUGUAAAAGAUCGAAGCCUAUGUAAAAGCUGGAAAUGACACUUUCUUUCUAUACAAUGCAGUGUUCAUUGCCCACACAUGAUGGAAGAGAUCACAUAGAGAAAUACUAUUCACUCAUGUCUAUGGUUGCAGUAUUUAGAAACAGGGUGGUCCACCCUAAAAGAAUAUUGACAAAAAAUAUGACAAGGCAAGCAUAGAUGUAGUGAAUCAAUCAUUUACUUGUGAGCUUACUAGAACAAGUGUGCAGAAUUGUAAUUGCAGUAAGAGACUGUCCAAAAUUUGAAUCAAGAAGUUUGUCUAGCACUUAUUGUUUGCAACUAAUCGACGUGAAUAAUUUGAUAUUAUAUUUAAUGAGUAAGAAAGACAAGUAAAAUUGUCAACAAACCUGGCUUGCAGUAGUAAUCUGGGUCAAUGUCACUACGACCAACAACCAAAAUGACUAGUGUCUGUUCCUAGGGCCGGAAUUUUGAAAACCCUGUGAACUUUACAGGUACUAAAGAUUACCGAAAUACAUCUGAACCAUUAAGUGUAGGUAGCACUGAGCACAUAACAAACCCUAAUGACAAUCCUGCCUAAUGAGUAAUGAAUCAAUUAGAAAAUGGGUGAUGAGGAGUGGCUGCUGAGUGUUGAGGACUUAUCUCAGGAUAAAUCGGGUUGGCUUAGUGGGUGCUGCACGCCUGAGCCCUGAACGGACUGGGAAGGUAGGCACGGCGGCGCACCCGGGCAGCGGUGACGCUGUUGGGCGAGCGGCUCCUGACCUCCUGUUAGUCCAGCGUCUCCUCCUAGAGUCAUGCCGUCCGGGGACGGCAAGUCGCCGGCGAGGCAGGUGGCUGGGGGCGAGUAGAGAUCGGAAGUGCGCAGCAGAACAGAGGGGAAUCGGGGCCUGGGACGACCCAAAAUCCCUGGGUGGGCCAGCCCACCGUGGGCACCCUGUAGAGAUACACACCCGAGCGGCGAACAUGCAUUUUCGAAACUAAUUUAGGAACAUUUAGCUGACCAAUUAAACGAAUCUAUUUUAAUAAUAUCAGAUUCGUAUUUGAACAACUAAGCUUGUUUAGCUUGAUGGGUCAAGAAGUGCUAUUAUGACACGAAGCACAUAUUCUGAUCGUAUAGUGAUCAUAAAAGGGGGAAACCGGAGAAAUGAUAUUUAGCAGCCAUUGUUUGCUUCGAACUAAGAACUAAAUUCUAAGAGCUGAAAAGAAAGUAGAGUAACCAAGUUAAGAUCUAUUUUCUGGUUGAGAUCAAAAAGUUGAGGAGAUAUGAAGUACCACCUCUCUUGCGGUGCCGUGUAGGCAUCGGGGUGCGAUGGCUGUCGGUGGCGUUGAAGUAGAUCUGCGAUGAUAGACGGGUGCAUCGGGGGAUAAGUCCCGUUGCGGUGGAAGAGAAGGUCGUGUGAGCGGCCCCGGCAAAGAGAACGACGGCGCCGAUGAAGCGAGAGGACGUGAUGCAAGGCUCUUGGUCCGUCGCCGUGGAUGGAAAACGUCCAUCUCUAGCAGUGGACGACGCGGUCUUGGUAGGCGCUCCGGCAUGGUGGAGGACGGUGGCGAUGGAUGUGGUGGAGGACAUCGGUGAUGGAUGUGGUGGAGGACGGCGGCGAUGGAUGGGGUGGCGGACGAAGGCUGGUGUGGGGAUGGUGUUCUAGCGCGGACGGUGUAUGAAUGGGAAAAUGGAGGGAGAGGUACGGGAACCGUGUUUUUGGGACGCACCUAUUUGAAAUAUGGGAAAGUUACGAACUUAGCCCCCGUUUAAAAUUUGGACGUCUCAUCGGUUGGGGACACGACGGUAAUCUCGCAUCUCGCCAAUAUUUGCCCAGAGCGAUUUCGGCGAGGAGAGGGUGGUUAGUGCCCAUGGUUGGCGCCCAUGGUUGGCACCCACGGUGUAUGAACGGGGCUGACAGGUAGGGCGGUUGUGUCACGUCUGAGUGAAGUUACAAACUUGCCCCUAUUGAAAAUAUUUGCCUACAUCGAUUUCGGUCGAGUCGAGUUUGUUUUUCCGCCCAUCGUGUAUGAAUGGGGAAAUGGAGGGAGACACAGAGGUCUUUCGGACGAGCUUGAAUCAAAUGUGUUUUGCCGCCCAUGUUUGGCGCCCACCGUGUCGGAAUGGGCUCAGAGGCGGUCGUGUCACGUCUAAUUGAAGUUACUAUCCUACCCCUAUUUAGAGCAAUGGAAAUCGGGUCGAUGGAUUGUCCGUGUAAUGGGUAGACAGUAAUUUCCAUCUCCCAAACACUUGGCUUCGGGCAGCCGACGUGGGAGUGGACAUUUUGCCGCUUCUUUCAAAUUUUGGGACAAUGAGCGUCCACGUUUACCUUGGCAACUAAAUUCGAAUCCAUUUUGUAUUCCUAUACGAAUCUUUAUAAAUCAUUAUAUGUGUUUUUAUAUAUCUUCAAAAGGACGACAAAGAUGUAUUCCACUGUCAUAUAUGAAUAUGGUUUACAAAUGCCGAUACUCAAAUUCAGAAGCUAGAAUCCAGUUUAAGGUGCAUUCGAAUAUUUUGAACACUUCAUGUCCAACUGAAAUGUCACACGCAACAUAAUGUGUACUCCCAUUUAGAUAUGUACACAAGCGAUGUAUCAAGAUUCAAAUACCGAGUCAAUCAACCAAGAAUGUACAGAACUAACAGACAUAUAAACACUUAUAGAGUAUAUGGAUCAAUAAUAUCAACUAACAUACAUAAGCCAGGCCGCUGUACUUUUCUUUGCUACAACAACAUCCUUUUUUUAGCCAAGCUACUACAGCAUCUUGGCCCUUUCCGAUGCGUGCCACUCUUGGUCCAUCUAUACUACUAUUAUUGUUGAAUGCACAUUCAGCCCGAUUGGCAUAUUUGUAGGUCUGGCACAGCAAUCAAAAUGAAAUGUCUCCGAGUCUUAUCAAUUAAUACAGACUUGUGAUCAAAUAAAAUUACAAACCAAAAAAACAAAAAACAAUUAGUACAUGAUCUCUAAAACAAAUGGUUUGAUUGAUUACAUGAACAAACAACACAAAGGUUAUUCAGCGAUGGAAAGAACAUUUCACCUAUGAUUUACUAAUUGGGAAUUUAAUUUCCUUUUUUCCUUUAGGACCUUGACAAUGUGGUCAGUCUCAGCUUGCUUCGUUUUGAAAUCCACCAAAUAUUUAAUGGUUGUCUUGAGUACUACUACUGAUUGUGUUGUUUGCUUCCUCAACAUGUCAACUUCAUCUCCAAGUGCAGAAGCAGAAUCUCUUUCUACCACUAGUUUAGCCUCUAGAGCAUCAGCAGUUGGCAAUUCAUAAUGCACGAUUGGGCCGGUGCCACUACUGUGGGAUGAUACAACGUCCAUGGGGACCUCGCUCUUUGAUCUUGGGCUGACCUGUUUUGCCAUUAAAGUUCCCAUUGGAUUCAGAAAAGUUGAAGUUAGCAAAACAUCUCAACUGGGAGUUAUAACAGCAAACCAGUUAAACAAACAAGGAAUUAAAGAGUUUGAAUUCGAUGCUGAAAAGUAGUUAUUAACAUCAUUGUAACCCAUUGUUUCAGCAGCAAAGCAGUUAAACAAACAAGUAGCUAUUUAAGUUCAGGCAAACAGGUAAUUCUUAACAGUAAGUAUCAAACACAUAGAUAGGCGCAGUCUAUAAUAGGAUUAACAGGUUAUGGCAUAAUGUAAUCAGUAGCAAACUAAAUUAAGCCCAGCAACGUAAUUGAACAAUUUUGCAAUAAGUGGCUAACUAAAAUUCCGAGAAGCAGGUAACUGAACUUACGCUAGUUCUUUGUACAGGCACACUGCAACUCCUUUUUCGCUUACAAGGUUGUACGAAGGAGUCCAUGGCAUCAAUUGCUUGGAUACGCAGUCCCAAUACUUCUUUCUUCCCACACUGCACUGGUAAGUCGAAUGGUUAAUCUGGUAAGAUGGUGCGUCCUUGAUAUGUUAUAUGAGGUCGUGUAGUCAGACUAGUUGUAGCCACACACAUCACACUGGCUUUUACUGUAUAUUUCAUGCGAUAACUUUUGGCAUAUCGAGAUCUAAGCAAUCUACAAUAGGAUAAAAGACUGGCAUCCCUCACAUUAUUGGCGAACUCAGUUCAUGGAAACAAGCAAUUCAACCAUUCUGUGGGUAAAUCAAAAGCGCCACUGGAAUACUUUUCACUACCCCUAUCAUACAAGCAAAAAGGGGCGACACCACCAUAGGGGCUGGUAUGGGCGGCCGCCUUGGGUGGCCCGAAAGUGUGCACCUAGUUUGAGCCGUCCAGGUUGGCCCAGGCUAGUUUUGUUCGUCCCAACGCACGAGCAGGUAAUGUAAAAAAUGAAGAAAAAUGUUUCAAUUUGGAUAGGCCAAUAACAUAAGUGCAAGGCAGGCCCUAUAGCAGGCUCGCGGCCCAAACGAGCGCCUCCCAUAUCGAUCGACAGCAGGAAAAAUCCCAAUUCAUCCGCUCCAGCCUCCAGUCUGGUUCGCUCCUAACCUAGCCGCCGCUGGACAAACCGACACAACACUUCCUCGCGCCCUCGUUGGAGGGCGGUCGCCGGGCUUCAAGCGAACGGAAGGACAAGAAGAUGAAGAUCCAACCCUGGGUGUAGCCUGCGUGGGAGGCAGCGGCGGCAGCACGGGCAUGGCAUCGAGCUUGCGCAAACGGACAGUCGCAGCUUGCAAGAGUAGCAUGCGCAACGAGCAGGUACAUCACAUCCCUGAUUAUAUCUAAUUCAACUCUUCAAUUUCUGGCUAAUAGUUAAACCUGACGGUGUUGUAAAACUGCUUGUAUGUAGGGAAUCUAUGAGAAAAUGAAACCAAUUUCUACUUAUUUUAUAUAUCCCCCAAUCAAUACUGAACUGACUGAAUCUGAUGUAUCUAAUCAAGUUUCCGGUGCAAACAUCCAAGCUCAUGCUGUUCUUGAGCCUAAAGUGUCUAAUGAAUAGACUGCUAAUGAAGGACAUUUUACAUGCUCCUCGUGAUAAACAUAUAGUGUCUAAUGAGGCAUCUAAGGCAAGCAUUUUGCAAUCUCCCAUUGAAGAAUUUAGUGUCUAAUGAUGAUCUGCUAUGUUGAGAGAGACAUAGAGAUUUGCAGGCAUUGAUGACAAGCAAAUUAUAGUGCAUUUUCAUGGCUUGAGGAAACGUCGAGGCCAUCUACCUGAAAGUCCCCAUAUCAUGACAACGUAGCAUAAAUACUUUUCUAAUCUGUUGUUUGAAACUAUUGGCAUACUUGUGCAGGAUAGAUAUAUUGAUAUGCAGUUUGCGCACUGGUUAUAGGUGCAAUUACACUUCGAUAUUUUCAGCCAGAGAAUGAAUAAUUCAAGCAGGUACAUACCAUGUUUGUAGUCCUUGUACACCAUGUUGCAUUUUGUGUUUUUUGGUGCUUGCAUCAUUUAGUGUUUAUAAUCUGAACUACUUUGGAUCAUUAGUUGGUUUUCAAAGUGCAUGUAGCUUCACAUUUCUCAAGUUAUGUUGAUUUCCGGAGUGCAAGUGCCUUCGUAUUUUUUAAGUUAAAUGUUCGCCCCUGGUAACUUGAAUUCGUGGAUCCGCCACUGCACACAAAUCAUACACGAAUGCCAGUACGAAUUAAAUGAAAUGCAGGGACUUACGCUAGCUCAUUGUACAAGCUCACUGCAGCUCUGCUUGCGCUUGGGAUGUUCCAUGUACAAGUCCAUGUUACCACUUGCUUGGAUGUGCAGGCCUUGUGCUCCUUGCAUCCCCCUCUGCAUUUUUGACACGACGAAUGGCUGAUCAAAUAAGAGGAAUCAACCUUGCUGUUGUACCGGAGGACAAAUGCUUACAAGGUUAUACGGGUGUGCAGGAUGUGUACCAAAUCCCGUAGCGCCGUCAUGCUUCGCUAAAAAAUGGAAAUGCUUGUUUCAGAUGAUAUCUCUAGAAGAAAUAAGAGUUAAAGUCAGAGUUGGAUAGGCGUGUAAGCUAAGAGAGCAGUGAAAGGAUAUCCAAACAUCGUCGGAACAGUGCACAAGGGAGUGAUGUGUGGAUACCUAGUUCGGGCCGGCGUUUGGGCAUGCUCGCCUAGCUAGAGUGCGGGUCACUUCAGAGCCGUUGAGGGUGAUGCGCUGGCGUUGGCUGGCCGCGCACGGAUGCAGAUCUUGAGUGGCAGCGGAGCGCUACGAUGUGGUGGACGAGACCGUUGGUGAAGCCCCAGCGGCCUCGGGGGGCGGAGGCGCGACGAUGUGCUCGGUGAAGUAGCCCCGGUGAGCUGGGAGACGGCGUCGGUGAAGCGCACCUGAUGCGGUGGAAGUCGUUGUCUGUGAGGCACGUCGGUUGCGGCGGCCGACGUUGUCGGUGGAACACCCGGUGUGGUGGACGAGGGCGUAGAUGAGGUAGCUCCGGUGCGGUGGUGAAGCGCGACCGUCGUCUUCGUCGUCGUCGUCCAGCACAGAGGUGGGGAAAGAGACGAGACGAGGGGCGAUUCGAACUUUGCUUGGGUUGGCGGCGAAUUAGGGAUUUGAGCAAUCUGGGCGCGGAAGGGGACGGUGGAGAAGGGAGAUUUUGCAGGGCUGGAAUUGGGGCCGCCAGAUAUUUCAAUCCAAAACAUGGAAGCGCGAACUUAUUUUGUCGUCGUCCUUUUUUGGGGGGGAGGGGGAGGGAGGGAGGGGGGUGGGUGGCUGGGUGCUAAGCGUCCGUCCGACACACGCGACCACCACGACACGACCCUGGUCUGCCUGGUGCGCCUACAUUUGAGAAUGCAAACAAAUCUUCUUUCACUUGCAAACGAAUCUGUAUGUAUUACCAUGCCCGUGGUUUCCUUGCAAUAAUUACUCAUUCGAAACGAGAUACUAUAAAUUAAUUAAUGAGGAGUUAUUUGAAAAAAAAUCGAAACGGUAUCCACGCUAAUGUGGAUUAGAGUGUGUGUCACAUAAUUAGUUAUUUGAAUUAGAGUGUGUGUCACAUAGCGAUCUCCAAUUCUAACGUGGAUUUCGCAUUUCACUGUAUCCACGCUAGUUUUUUAAUACAAAUUCAUAUGUAUAUGAUGAACACCAUGGUAGUGAGAAAACUUCUGUGUGGAUUCAAACAUAUGACCUACAAAAUAGCACAACAAAUCGAGUCAAUGUCAACUUUUCGAAACCUAGUAUGGCACGAAUUCGAAAUAAUUACCCAUAUGCAUGGUCCUCAGUUCAAAUCUUACAAUGUACAUCGAAUUGAAACAUUGAUAUUAAGUCUCGUACUAUCUACAUUNNNNNNNNNNNNNNNNNNNNNNNNNNNNNNNNNNNNNNNNNNNNNNNNNNNNNNNNNNNNNNNNNNNNNNNNNNNNNNNNNNNNNNNNNNNNNNNNNNNNNNNNNNNNNNNNNNNNNNNNNNNNNNNNNNNNNNNNNNNNNNNNNNNNNNNNNNNNNNNNNNNNNNNNNNNNNNNNNUUCCUCUCCUAACCACCUUUGGAAGCUAUCGGUUUCCAACACACAUCCAUUCUUUCUCUCCAUGUUUCGAUCUCUAACUCUCUCAACUACACAACCCCCCUUUUCCACUCUGUUACGAAAUGUAUUUACCUCACACACCCGCCAUUGCACCCCAUGUCGAGCUCUCUCUCUCCCUCUCCCUCUCACCCUCUCGCGCUAAAUACAUGCAUUGCCUAUCUAGCCCCCCAACCUCUCGUGCGCACGCACGCACGUUGUCUAUCUAGGUCACUCCCUCGAGACUGUCUCACUCUUUCUUCCGCACGGCGGGCCACACUCGCUCAAUCUCGCUCUCUUUAUCUGAGUCUCGUUUAACCUCGUUUUCUUUCACACACAAAUGAUAUAUCUCCCUGUUCGGGCCUCGAUCGACACACUCUAUACUCUCUCACGCAGAUUGUCUAUCAAGGUCAGUCCAUCGAAGCCGCCCCCACUCUUUCGACCUCAUGGCGGGCCACGCUCUCUCUCUCUCUCUCCCUCUCUCUCUCUCUCUUUGUAUGUCUCGAUUGACCUCGCUCUUUCUCGGACAAAAACGAUAUAUCACCAUGUUUGAGCCCAAUUCGACUUAUUCACAUUGUAUACUCUCUCACGCACAUUGUCUAUCUAGGUCACUCUCUCCAACCCGUCUCACUCUUUCGAUCGCAGGACGACCCUAUGUGAUUGAUUGACCUUGCUUCCUCCCACGCACAAAAUAUAUCUACAUGUCUGUGACUGGAUCAUCUCUCAAGCUCUAUCUUACAGCCCUCACCUUGCCAAAAGCUCAAUCGGACAAUAUCUCUCCAGAGCAUAUAUAUUUGUUCAAUGAAUGUCGGACCACACUCACUUUGUCUCUCUAUCUAUAUGUCUCUCGAUUGACCUCGCUUUCUCACGCCGUAUCUUCCACACAUUGAAGCUACCUCUCCAUCCCUUGCAAAGCCGGAGCUAUUUACAUUGCGAGGGGCACUCCAACCUUGGAUUAAUUUGUGUAGGCAUUUAUUCCGGUCGGUUUAGAUUAUAUUUUCGUAGCAUUCGGCCCACAACUACUCGAAACACCGUUGCAACCCCCGCAACUCCCCUAGUUGAUUUCCCUCUGGCUCGGUCAUCGCUCUCUCGCACGUCCUUUCUCGCCUUCAACGUCACACCAUGGUAUUAUUGCAAAAAACUCUAUUAUUCUCUUUAAUUAUUAUAAAUAAGCUACAAAACUACACACCUAUAGUCCACUUGGAAUGGAACAAAUUUCGACCCACAAAUUAAAGUGCUACAAACUACACACCGAGGGGCCCACAUGUCAUGAAACAAAUUUGGACCCAUAUACAAAUUAAAAAAAAUAAAGGAUGAGGAUCGAACAUGCGACCAGGGCCUUCAAGCCGCACGUCAAUAGGCAACAUACGUAGAACAACAAUGUUUGUUGUACCUCCCUUUGUUCACAUAAUGUUUUUAUAUUACCACAACCUAUUUAAUUGAUAACAUGUAAUAUUAUUUUUAGUAAUACUCGCCUUCACUUACUGGUGGGUUCCAUGUGUGCUCUCUCUCUCUCCUCCCCUUCUGCAUUUAGACGCACAGGCAAACACGAAGAACUCAUGGGCGAUGUUGCCGUUGACCAUAUCUGGACGCGUUCACAAGUUACAGCACCAGUUUCACGUGCUAGCAGCACUAGUCAGUGUGUACGUGCAAUGCACGUUAAUUUGGAAGUAUAUUAAGUGUAUGCGGAUAUUAAGUACGAUAUUAUUUGCGUGUUAUUAUGUGAUUAGCACUAUUUUUGGCAUGAAAUUAACUGCACGCUAAACGUGUUGAGCGCUCGACAUUGAAGCAGUCUAGGUCGUUGGAUGACAAGGAAUACAUGUGGCUUGAUGACGUUUUAUAUUUAAUUUGAUACGGCUCUAGCAGAACAUUCAAUCGAUCAAAACAUAGAUUUCGUUCAGUCUGACUCCGACUUUAAAUUAUACGAUGAUCGAUCUAAAAUAAACGGAAAUGAUAAACGUUCAGAUUUUAAGCAUGGCAAUCCGAACGUUUUUCAUGGCAAAUUCAGAUUAAGCGGCGGCGGUGUCUUGCGGUGGGAAGCGGCUCCUCUGCCGUGCUUUGUGUGUCGUCGGGCCACUGACCGACGGCGACGGCGGCGCCUUGCGCCAUUAUUGGCGUACUCCUGGACGUUGGCCUAGCUUCAAGGAAGGCCAAAAUGUUCUGGACUUCAGAGCGAGUCAACUGGCGGAAGGAGGCGACUGGCGUUGGUGCAAGGAAGCGUUCGACGGCGGCCAUCCAUGCCGCUGAGGGGGGCACUAGCACCCGCGCGGGAACAGGCGCUAUCAACGGCACGGCGGAGACAUUCGUGUGCACGGGCACCGGCACGGGCGUGCAUGUCAGUGCACGUGCAGGCGCAUGCGCUGGCAGGUGCACAGGCACCGGCACCGGCGUGCGCGUCAGUGCACACGCAGGCGCAUGCGCUGGCCGGUGCACGGGCGCGUGAAAGUCGGCGGGGACCUCGUGGAACCCCGUGGCAUCAAGCUCGGCGACAAUGUGCGGCUCCCGGCCCAUCAAUGCCACGGGGAUGGGCGUUGGCACAGUCGGGGCGAUGAGAGCCGGAACGGGAGCGGGGACAGGCGCGGCGUCUUCCCGCAAGGCCAGUUCAAGCUCGUCCCAAAGCGCCUUAUGUUCUUGAGACUCCGGCUGGGUGUCUUCCUCAGGAAACUAGAAGACUAAGGGCAGACCAUCGUGAUGCGGCAUGGUGUACGCUUAGGUCAGGCUGGUUGGAGGUAGACGACAGGAGAAUCAGAGAGGAAGAGAGAAGAUUGUAGCGAUACCGGGUAGUGCGGGGUUGAUUUUAAACUGCGGCGCCGGCAACAUUAAAAGUUGGAGCAGUUGGGACGAAGGUGGGCGGCAGAGCCUGGUCAAAGGGCUCGCCUCCCGGUGAGCCUGCACAGCGGUCUGCUCGCACGCCUCCCUGUCAGCCGGCGCAAUGGUCUGCUCGCACGCCUCCCGUCGACUCACACGCUUGCUCGGACGGCACCUUCCGAUGAGAAGCGGGACUCGUGGCGGCACGCAAACGCUCACGGUUUCAAUAGUGAAAGCGUUCGCCUUAACGUGACAGGUCUUUGUUCCAAAAUUCCUUGGCUCUUCAUUUGUGCAACUUGUCAUAAGCAGCUUGUCUCAAAUUGAAGAAAAAAAUUACGAAGUAAUAUUUGUGCCAUAUCACGUGACCAUGCUCAGUUUCAAGAAUUUAUGGUCAUUUUUGGAUUUUCUGAAAUUUAAGAUCCAGGAUUCGAAACAAUAACAUAACCUGCAUCAUGCAAUAAAUUUUCAAGCCAUACAUCUGUCCUGUUGUAUUUCUUAAGAAAGGAUUUGGUCAAACAUUUUGCUUAGUUAGACUUCAAACAAGUUAUAUAUGCAGAGCAAAAGGAUAAUCCCUCCAUACCAGUGCAUUGCUGAUAUAUUAACUCAAGUACUAGGCACGUGCUCAUCCUGGUGUAGUAGUAGUAGUACUAGGCAAUGAAGUUGACGGGUGACCUUGGCGAGCGGCGACCGAGGGAAUUGAACCGUGCUCGGCACGGUAGGUAACGUUGUCUAGUUACUAAAGCAUCUCUCCGUUGUUCAUCGGUAGUCAUUAUGGACCGGGGACAUGAGGGGAAUUUCCUAGGGCUGGAAUUCUGGCCGCCAGAUAUUUCGACUCGAAACGCGGAGGCUCGACUGGUUGGGGUUUCCUAAUGUGCGUACCACGCACGCCACCAGAAGGACACAAGCCCGGUUUUUUUUUAUUUUUUUAGGAUCAACAUGAGCCAAGGUCUGGCUGGUACGCCGUUGGGUCCUACCAUUCGAGAAUACGAAAGGAACCUUUUAAAUUGCCGAACGAAUCUAUGUGUAUUACAAUGCCCGUAUUUUCCUUGCAAAUACUAAUCUCAACGUGGUAAUUGAUUUAUGACGAGUUGUUGAAUUAGAGUGAGUUUGUGAUAUAGUGAUCUCAACGUGGAUUUCACAUUUCAUGGUACCCCUGGUAAGUUUUUCAAUGCAAAUUCAAAUUUAAAAGAUGAAUAAUAUAGAGGUGAGAAAACUUUGUAUGUAUCAAGCAUAUGACCACACACACACAGAGACACCCACACAUGAACACAACAACAAUCCAAUAAGUAUAGUGCAUCUAUUUUUCCAAACCAUGCAUGUAUGACACGAAUUCAAAAAUACUCCUUCUGUUCCUAAAUAUUAGUCUUUUAGAGAUUUCAACAAGCGACUACAUACGGAGCAAAAUGAGUGAAUCUACACUCUAAAAUAUGUCUAUAUACAUCCGUAUGUGCCAGUCCACUUGAAAUCUCUAAAAAGACUAAUAUUUAGGAACGAAGGGAGUAAAAUGUAAGAUAUGCAUGGUCCUCAAUUCAAUAUUUAAAAAGAACAUGAAACUGAAGCAUGAAUAUUAAGUCUAGUACUACAGUACAUGCAAACGUUGUGUUUAAUUAGGCGGAGAUAUGAUUGUCGGAGGUCACCCCCUCGACCUUAGGUAAAAUUGUGAAGCUCUGUUUAGCGUUGUUUAGAUUAUAUUUGUCCCCACCCUCCCAACCACCGAUUGGUUGUGCACCCCCACCCCUCCUCCCCGGGAUAAUAUCAUGUGCCCCCAUACCUUAGAUGCUAUAUGCCGAUACGAGUUGCUUGGAGCUUGUAGAUCUGAGAUAUAGCAGCUCACAUGAUGUCUUAAUAUUUUUACAGGAAACCUUGAUGAGUUUGAGAAUUGCACACAAUUUGUACAAAAACUACUCAGAUGCGCUUGGAUCCCAUAUCCAACGACCCCGAAGCUCGUAUCACCGUAGCAUCUAAGAUGAAGGAGGACAUCAUAUUCUCCUAUAUGUAAGAAUAUCAUGUGCUACCACACCUUAGAUGCUUUGGUGAUACAAGCUCUUCGGAGCCAUUGGAUUUGUGACCCAACACCUCCUCGGUGGUUCGAAUGGUUUUUUGCAGAAAAGCCCCCAAAGAGUUCGGCCACUGCUUACAAGCACAAAGACUGCUCAGAUGCCAUUGGAUCUCAGAUCAAACGACCUCGAAGCUCGUAUCACCGUAGCAUACAAGCUGCAAGAGCACCUUCUGUUUUCUCACACGGGAGAAUAUGAGGUGCUCCCGCACCGUAGAUUCUAUGGUGAUACAAGUUCAUGGAGAUCUAACGGCCCACAGUAGGAGGUUUGAAUGUUUUUGCAAUAUACGGAUGAGAGAGUUUGGGAAUUGCGCAGAAAGUACAAGUACUACGCAUGUGCCAUCUGAUCACUGAUCAUACGACCUAGAUGCUCAUAUCACCGUAGCGGGUAAUUAAGCUACGGGGAGCACCUAAUAUGAGCAACGGGGAGCCGUUGGAUCCAAGAUGCAGUGGCACACACGAGGCCUGAAUGUUUUAUUUGCAAAAAAAACUUUGGAGAGUUUGGAAAUUGCGCAUAAUUACAAAGACUACUCCCAAGCCAUUGGAUCUCACUUCCAACGGUGUAAAAACUCGUAUCACCAUAGCAUCUAAGCUGCGGGGUGGAUGUGAUAUUCUAUGCCGCUGUCAUUUUUGUUCAUAAACUUGCAAAAUAUGUGUAACUUGUGCUGUUACUUGUCUAACCGCGCAAAGUGUUUGUUCAAAAAAACAUCCUACACUGAAAUAGCGGAACAACACACGGGGGUCCCACUUGUCAUUAAUCAAAUUUGGACCUAAAACUAACAAAUCUGAAAAACGAGAUUCGAACUAGCAACCUGGACUACAAAGCGUAAGUCGAUAGCCUGAAACAACAAUGGUUGUUGGCUUUGUCCCAUAACUUGAUUUUAUACAGUAUUACGUUGAGUAGAGUAGAGGGAGUGCCUAGUCAACACGUGCAUGACCGUUGACUCACUUACUGGUGGGUCCCAGGUCUGCGAUCUCUCUCUUCUCUCCAUCGUCUAACCUUUGCACAGGCACACACGAAGAGCGGCGCUAGCUUGCCAUGGUGUUAUUACAACUAAAAAAAUCUUGGAAAAUAGAAGAAUCGCCUAGAGCAAGAGACGUUGUGACUGGUCGAGACGGAGCUAAUCACACCUAUCCUCCGUACCAUGUUAGCAUGAUGAAGCUGUGUGGCUAGUGGGGUGCUUUCGACCGACUGGCUGGGUCCCGAGGUCGAACCAUAGGUACUACGUCUGAUACAGUAAAUUUUUACACGCACAUUUUUCCUCCGUGCCGAGACAUGGCACACCCUACCGCGCGGUUUCGGGGUCCUCCCGGGUGGUGCACGCAUAUAUUCUUCCUGACGUGGGAUGCCCUACCACGCGUUUUCGCCGAAGCAAGUAAAUGAGUCGUCAAAUCACGAAAGACCAAUUUUCCCGCCGAGUACAUCAGUGAAGCACGGUGGCUAGCUAGUUGGGCUAGUUCGACCGAUUAGCUAGGCCGCCGCCACAUUUGUUUUUUCACCCCUUUUUUUAUCUACUUGCCAGAAGGUAAAUUUAAAUGUCCACCGCGGCGUUGCUCUGGUGUUUGAGUGCGGCAGGAUUUUUAAUUUUUUGAUUGACGGGAGCAGGCGCGGUAGGAUUUUUAAUUUUUUUGAUUGACGGGUGCAGGCGCGGCAGCAAUUAGUCACGAUGACUCUGCCUGUAAAACCCACUGCUCCCUGAUGUGAGAAGUCAUCGACUGGUGUUUUACCAUGGUGAAAACCAAAAGAUUCCCCGCUCCUCGGCUGGCUCCCUCCGCCUUCCCGUAGAUUGCAUUGCCUUUCAGCCGUUUCGCCCCCUGCAUCACCAACGUCAUGCGCCUCGAGAAGCAGAGGGACUUCCGUGGUGUUUAGGCGCCCUCUGCAUGGGCAUGUCCAUGUCUCGGUGCAACAUGACUGUUGGAUCAAACUCAGACGGUGCAGAUUAGUCACUGUAGCACAAAGCGUGUGGGUGUGUUUGGUUGCAUUCUCAUCUCAAUAUAGUUGUUUCCUCUUCGUGCAUUUGUGUUAACCUACUAGUUUGGACUCAUGCACCCUUCAUGCACUCUGCCAAACACCCAAAAGUGGGUCGAGAAGGGAACUUUUGCUCCCAUCCCGUGCACCCUUCAUACACCCUGCCUAACACUAUUCGUGCUUCAUAUGGUUCAUGUUUCGUGGAGUACUGUAGCACCGUACUCUCCAUGCCCUGUAGACCUAGUUCUGUUAACAUUGAUCUCACCGUUCAUUCUCGACCGGACAGUCGAGAAAGCGGUAUUAUGUUACUACAUUACUGUUCAUAUAGUUGACAUGCGCACAACAUCAUUUGUUGUCAUCAUAUCUUACAACACUAGCAACAAGAUUAUGUAGUACUGACGUAUGAACCACUGCACAUGCCUAGUAGUAGGAGCACUGUGUAUGUUCAAGUGGCUGCCGUGUUUCGCACUCCUCCAUCGUAAGAGUGGAAACGCUUGCUGUAAUCAUUUUUUUCUUCAGAAAAACAGUGGACACACUCUACCGUGCGGAUCCUCCUCCAGCCAUGCACUAAAUUACUCACUUUCGCCGAUGUGUGGGACAGCCAGCAUCGGGGUCCACCAGCCAUGCACUAAAUUGCUCCAUAGUAGAGUGACGGUAGACUACCCCAAUCGAAGCGCCGCAGUAAUGCCCAAUGAGCCAUCAAAUCACAAAACCCCCUCCUUUCCAGCAAUAAGUUGGACGGACGAAGCAACCAUCAUUUCACUCUUCUCUCUCAGCUUCCUCUCUACCCAACUCGCUUCUCCCUCAUCUUGUUCCUCAUUUCUUCAAGAAAACCCCGACCUGCUUCUGCCAUUGUUCUUCUCUCCCAAAGAAGGAAAGGCGAGCGCAUCAAUGGUGUUGAUUCUGGCCAAGGCCCGGUCUUGCAAACCCGAGACUGAUCCUAUAACUCCCUCUCUUUUCAUCUUUUGGGUUUGUGAUUAUGGUUUCUUUUCUUUUAUUUCUAUUUGACAGUUUCUUGAUGGACGCUGGAGCACCGGCCGAAGUGAUGUCUAUGGCUCUGGCCCAAACUGUCGAGGCUCAUGGUACGAAGGAGCGCAAGCACAUCACCGAGACUACCGCAGACAAGCUCAAAGCCAUCGCCCUGUCCAAGCCCCCCUCUCCUGGAUCCCUCAUUAAGCAAGUCCAGGUAAUAUCUCUUCUUGACGAUCUUUUUCUCGAUCUUGAUCGUGUUUUUUCAUCUAACACGCAGUACUAGUACUAGUAGUACAACUUUCUGGGUGAUCUUGCAUGUGAUUUUUGUGUGCCAAAUGACGGUUCUAAAUUCCUCUUUUGACCAAAACAUGCGAGAGGUUGACACUGAUUUCUUAUAGAUUACUUUCAACUACUCCCUCUGUCCCAAAUUUCUUGUCUUAGAUUUGUCUAGAUACGGUUGUAUCUAAUACUAAAAUGUGACUUGAUACAUCCGUAUCUAGACAAAUCUAAGACAAGAAUUUUGGGACGGAGGGAGUACUUUAUGAACAUCAAUGCUACCUUUGAAGAGGGUAUAUUUGCCUCGGUAACUUGUGUUAUGGAUAUUGCAAGUAAUCCCUCUGCUCUCAUGCCUUUGAAGACAUGUUCUAGUGUCUUUGUUCACUCAUUUCUAUGCGUAUAUGUAGUCAUAUAUGGAUUAUAAUAUCGAAAAUCAUCUUAUAUUUCUGAACGGAGGUAGUAAUAAAAUAUGGUUUCUGUUUGAAUUAGAACCAGGUCCGCGGUGGAGAUGAAGUUCUCAAAGUCAUGCCGUGUGAACUGGAAGACCUGAGGAUGAGUUCUACUGCUAAACUAUCCAGCUGUUGUGUCCUUGUCGCCACGUGUCCUGAACUAGUGUUUUCCUGUAGCAUUGUUGUCAGGUGUGUUCUCGAGGCUGUACUUGACCACAACAAUUUCCUGGUUGUGCCUUUGAUUACGAAGGGUGUGGUUCUUGUAAAGCUUCCCAACAAAUCUGAUGCGACCUAUCUUCAUGAUCAUGUUUAUGAGUGGAAAGACCACUCUGUUAUGUUCUCCAAGGUUGACGAGAUGGUGAUGGUGCUUGUAGACAUCUCUCACGAAGUCCAUGGCCUAGUCAGUUAUGCGGGGUUCAUCCCGUAGGUCUGUGGCAAGAAAUAGUCUGCAGAGUUUAAUUAGUGCAACUUUGCUUGUCUGUAGUAAGUACUAUUGUUCAGUACUUGAUUUUUGUUUGUGAACCCUGUAUUGUUUAUUAGUACUGCCGCUUUUGGUGUGUGGUCAGUCCUGAGAACGGUCUAUGUUAAUGUCUAUCCACUCAAUUCAGUCUGUAUAUUUUGAAGUAUCCAGAUCAUCUUUUUUGUGAGGACGGUUUAUCAAUUAUGGUUACACUCCAAUAUCUGUAUGCAUUGCAGGGUUUAUCGCACCCACCAGGAUUUCCAGUCCCAUGGAUGUUCGGUCCAUAUGACUUUACACGACCUUUGGACUGUCCUGCUUGUGGUAGUAGGCGGGGCCCCUGCAUGCCACCCGUAGUUGGACGAUCAAUCUUCUGUUUAGUACUUCAACAUAGUGAUUUCCUCGUAAGGAUUCACUCGUGUCACAUCAAGUAAAUCCUAUUGAUUUAUUGUCUAAAUCUUAUUGAUUUAAUGUCAUGUUUUCUUUCUUUUCCUGCAAUUUUACGAUGCAGGUCUUGCCAUGUGACAUUCAUCACAGAAUAAACCGUUUGGUUUGCUCUACGAUGGCUAUUUUUGCAGGUUUCACUUCUUAUGUCGUGUCAGUAACGAAGGCACAAUCCAUCACUUAUAUUACUGGAAAAGAUUGGAUCAGUCUGUUGUCUGAGUACAAGCUGCAUCCCUAUGAUGAACUGCAGUUUGGUUUAACAAAAACGCCACAAUUAGUCCUUCUCGUGUUUAAAAGAAAUGAAGAAAAAAAACUAGAUCACGGUCACGAAGCCUAGUCAAGUUAGAAAGCUGAUCAUAGCAGACCAGACACGAUCGCCGCUGUCUCGCACAUCGGUACCACCUUCAGCAACGGAUCGAGCACCGGUAGUUGCUCUAGCACUGACAGCGGCAGCAGCUCAGUCUGAUCCAGCUAAGGAUUGGGCACCGACCGCGUCAGCGGAUCAGGCUAAUCUACCGGAGGAUCGGGCAUCGACACCGGCACCAGCUCUACAAGGAGCACCAUCUCCGGCAGCAAAUGCGGCUUCGGCACCUGCACCAACACUUGCACUUGCAUCUGCUCCGGCCCGUGCAGCGGCAACCGAACAAGCAGUUGCACCGGCAAUAGACUGGGCUGCAGUUCGCACUUCAUAUACCAAAGUCCUUACAAAAACCGACAUGUCCACCUUCUUGGUAAGCAUUGGCCGCCAAAGUGUUUCGUUAUUUUUUCUUUCCAUGUUGUUUCGCAUGAUUCACUGUGUUGAUCUAACUGUUUGGGUAUGUCUUCUUGUUUGCAAACAGAGAAUUCCUAGAGUAACGAGGGAGUUGUUCAACAAUCCGGGCGACAGCGGCCAAGUUUCUCUUACCAUGCGCAGCCUUGGUGUGAAUGAACCUGCUCAAUAUACCGUAAGUACAAAGGAUGGUUGCAUGAUGAUUGAUGCUAAAGGAUGGUCAAGGUUCAAAUCUAAAUCAUAUCUUGCGGUAGGGGAUGAUCUCAAAAUCUAACUUUCUCGGCAAGGAGAGCUGGUCCAAAUCAACUUUGAAAUUCUUUAGUAGCAGCACGCAACUGCCGAACUGAUCUAUCCUCUGAGAGAUUUUGAUGUAAUAAUCUGGCAUGGUGAAAAAAGUGUCAUGUGUGUAUAAGUAAUAUGACAGUAUUAUUUAUCACAUGGUAUAUCGUUGAUAGAAUUGCAACUCUCACUGCUGGUUAGGAACUGUCGUUUGAUUUCAUUCCAACAGCUGUCGUGCUUUAUUCAAUUUUGUAUAUUCGCCUUGCGACAGGAUCUAAAACCAGCGCCGUACCGAUCGCUUGCAAUAUGAAAAGCGCUGAGGUAGAACACAUGGGCCCCCAAACAUGCAGGGUGGGCCUGCGGCCCAAAGUCCAGAACUGUGAGCCAGUCCGAGAAUUAUAUUCUCAGCUGAACCCCCAUAAUGCCUGUGCAUUGCACAUAACAUCAAGAUGCAUUUGUAUGAGUAUUUUAUCUUGUGAGAGAAAAGGAUGAACGAGGGAAGGCCUUAUUUGCAAAUGUGGAGAGGUGUGUGGGUACCUUUUUGCAAAAUUGCCAUAGUUUCCUUCCUAUCCGUCAAAUAUAUAUCAGAUGGCCUAUAUUGCAGGAUGGGAGGCACACCAUCAUCACCAACUCGUCUAUACUGUGUUAAAAACAACUCUGUUUUUAUAAUUAUAUAUGUUAUAUAUAUUCCCCUUGAUUUUUCUUAUGUAUAAAGUUGUGCUAUAAAAGAUUUGUAUAUUUCUUUACAGAGGGAGUAUCUCUCUGUCAAAAAUAUAUUUUUGUGUAACUAGUUACUCCUGUCUUUCUACUUCCUUUCGCUGAUAUGUGGGGCAUCCGGCAACGGGGUCAAGUGCCAUAUGCACAAAUUAGAGUGCACAACUGCACGGUAGACACACCCCGGUCGUAGCGCUGCAGUAAUGCCCAAUGAGCCAUCAAAUCACAACCCCCCUUCCAGAUUUAGCAGUAAGCUGGACGGACGAAGCGGCAAUAUUUCACUGGGCCUGAAUCCCCUUCUCCCCCGUCUACUUGUUCAGAGAAAACCCCCUCUCGGCGAUUGCAUAGGGUUUUCUCAUGGAGAACCAGGUACGAAUUCUUCAUCCAUCCCCGAUAAAUCCAAGUCCCUUGGUCGCGGGUAAUCCUAGGAUGGCAGCCGCCGCCGUUGAUGCAUUUUUCUUCCUACUGAAUCUAGUGUGUUUCAUUUGUAGUGCCCAAAGUGCGAGGACCCUACAUGUUUCUGCGCCCUCGGCGAGACGCCACACUUGUUCCUUCUCAUCCUAACACAGUAUGUUCCUAGAAUCCUCUUUUCUAUCCGGGAGGGUGGGGUUUUUUUGAACAUGUUGUCGACUAAUUUGGAAAUUUGGAUUGCUAUAUUUGGAUAAAAGGUACUACCAGUACGAUGGUCAACACUGACAUGAAGGAGGAAGUUAUUUCUAGAUUUGGAUAGGGAAUACAUUGUGUUCUCAUAUUAUUUUUCCUGCAGUGCCUUAUUUGCUCUGCCAGAACACAUGUACUCAAGAUGCUCGGCCUUGCCAUAACUGAAUACACCAGUUUAAUGGUCACAGUGAAGACAAGCCAUGGAUAUAAGUUCCGAGUUGGGUUCAUGAACCAAGAAGAUCACUGCUUUUUUAUGGCCGAACUUGGAUAAACUUUCUCAAGUGUUACGGACUGAAAGUUGGCGCACGAAUGUUGAUGGAAAUAGCAGAACCUGGUCUCAUCUUCACUGCGAUCUUCCACCCCGACGUCGUUCCAAUUGUUCAUCCAUGUUAGUUUUGUAUCUGGUUCUUGCUUAUUGCCUCGAUUACUCCUUAAUCCACCUAUUCUGUCUAACUAAUCACAAUUUAACUUUAGAAGUAGCAACAAAUCUCUCACGAAGAUGCUACUUCUAACUAAUAUUUUCUUAUAAUUGGUGGCACGUGUAGGUUUUUUCAGAGUUAAGCACGCUGCUCGUUUGUUAUUCUGUAACAACUCGGCUGUUACUGAUGGCACUGAAGUUGACUGGGACGACAUCCACAAGUUCCUACACUUUAUUGAUCGUCUUGAGGUCCUUGUGGGGCGUUUCAAUGGUGGAAGGCCACGUGAGAUAUGUGUGCCACUGCUGCACUCGUUGAACAGGUCCAACUGUGUCGAGAAACUUAUGGUACGAGCUGUUUUCUGUUAUAUAUGUUGUUCAUAAACUAUUGCUUAUACACAGUUUUACAGCUGUGAUCUUCUUGAAACAGGAAAUGCCCAGUUCUAUUGUUCCUAUACAGAUGCCUGACCAUGGUCGGGUCAGACUUGCGCUUGGUCACAACAUGAUGUUUAUGUCGACCUACUCCAUUCCUCUUGGAGGUGAAAAGAUACUUAUUCAUGGGUGGUCUCAAAUAAUGAAGGCCCGUCCACCUUGGAGAAUAGGACAGAAGAUUAUGUUCCUGCUUUUCCAUGGCUCUAAAGCGAAUAUCCUGUUUAUUGACCACAUUGCGAGAUGAAGCCGCUUUCAGAAGGUUGUGGAUGCGUGGGGUGGCGCCUGGGCCUUGUCCUGGGGCUUGGCGGCCUCACCCUUGGUUGUAGGCAAAGUAGCACUGUUCGAGGCGUGCUUUGUACGGUUGAACCUAUAUAAGUACUCAUACUGCUUUCAGCUAUGGUUGUUAAGUGCCCCUGCUGGUUUCAGUUAAGGUUGUUAAGUACUCCUGCUGCUUUUACAGUCUGUCGUCUUUCUUCAGUCCUGUCUUCCUCCAGCCGCCAAAACCAAACCAGCGCCGGCGGGGCCACCUGCUUCCGCCUCCCAUGGCUGGCUGUGCCUCAGCGCACGCAUCGCCGCCCCACCGUCUCCUAAAUCGUUAACGCCGACGUCCGAGGCCUCGCCGUCGUCCUCCGCGCGCUUUGGUGCGCUCGCCGCAGCGCCGCCCUCUCGCGUUGUCAACAUGGUCAACAAACAACAGGAAUCGGUAGAAGUACGUGGAGAGGAUGACAGUACGGGCCCACCAUGUGAGCGUAUGGAAAAAUAAAAUGCUUCCUCCUAGUGUUUUCCUGACAUCUGAGACCCACGACAUUGUGAGCGUAUAUAGUCAAUAGACAAGAGAACAGCACAAGAUCGGCUAACACCUGGGACGUAGCUGCUCGAGCAGUACUUUUUUUUGUUAUUGUUGAGACGGAGCAGGGUUUGAACUGGGCUGUGGCCCGUCUAGCCCAGGCUUAUAUUUUAUGUUCACCAUGUGACCAGCCCAGCUAUUUUUUCUUUGUGAAAAUGAGCCCAGUUUAUUUUUUCUGAAGAAUACCCAAUCCAGGCCUACUUAUUUUUCUACGCCCUGAUGGGCUGCAACUCUUUCAAGACGCCUGAAAAUCUUGAAAGUAAUAUGAAAUGGGUUGUAAAUAUAAAAACAGAUGACAAAUUGGCAAUUACUUUAUAAUUUCUGAAUUUUUUCACAUUUUCAGAUUCCUAUUUCACUGGGCAUUAACCUAAUUUAAAUAUAUCUUCAAAGUACUUUAAAUCUGGCUCGACAUUUCGGUAUUAAAAAUAGUUUGGAACCCACAGAAAUAUGCAAAAUUGGCCCUGGCCAACCAAAAAAGGGACUGCAAUAAAUUGCAUAAGAAGUCACAGUGAGCUAUAUAUAAAUUAUUAAAAAAAAGGAACGGUCUGACUUAUGGGCCUAUUAAGUUGACGCGUAUGCAUGAUUUUUUAGUUAUUAUAUACGUCAACAAACGAUUCCAGCAGACGUAACCGUUGGAUGUCAAUCCAACGGCCGUUGUGUUUCUUCAAUCUCUGAUCUUCUUGCUCCAGCCGCCAAAUCCAGCGCCGGCGGGACUGCCUGCUCCCGCCUCCCGUGUAGGCCUCACCGCCCCCUACUACUCCCACCGCUGGCCAGGGCAUCCCUCUACUCACCCACACCCCCUGUUAUUAUGCGACGACGGCAGCCUCACACCGCAACCGAACCAGUGAACCCUCGUACUCCUCUCCGCGUGGGCAUCCACUACCGCGUCUUCCCCGGCUACGCGUCGUCCCCUUCCUAGGCCUCGCCAUCAUCCACCGCCCUGGUGCUCUCAGCACGGCGUGGUCAAUGUGGUCAAGGAACGACUUCCAUCGGAAGAGCACUAUCGUGGAGAGGCUGACAGCUGGGUCCACGGCAGCCGCAAGGAAGUGCCUCCUUAUUACACGGAAAAUAAUUAUUCCUCCACCUGACAGCAGGGACCCACCGGACGGGCCAUCGUAUUUGGCGAAAAAAACGUUUUCCCCCUGACUGCUGGGACCCACCGGACGGGCCACCGUAUUUCGUGAAAAAAAUGUUCCCCCUGCUGUCAGCUCGGACCCACCGGAAGUACCUCCAUAUUACGCACAAAAAAAUGAAUACUCCCCCUGCUAGUUGGGACCCACCUUGGUGGGAGGCUGACUUGUGGGCCUACUAAGUUGACGGGGACAGAGUGCUUUGUCAACUUAGUCAAUAUGAACGAUUCUAGCUCCAGUGAUCGUACGAUGUCUAUCUGAUGGUCGUAGUGCUUCUUCAACCUCUGGUCUUCUUGCUCCAGCCGCCCAAAGCAGCGCCGGUCGUGUCGCAUGCUCCUGCCUCCCGUCGCCGGUUGUGAUGCCGCGGAGGCCUACCCGCCCCCUACUACUCCCACCGCUGGCCAGGUCAUCCCUCUACUCACCCACACCCCCUGUUAUUCUGCGGCGAUGGCAGCCUCACACCGCAGUCGAACCAGUGAACCCUCGUACUCCUCUCCGCAUGGGCAUCCACUGCCGCGUCUUCCUUGGCUUCGCGUCGUCCCCUUUCUAGGCCUCGCCGUCGUCCACCGCCUUCGUGCUCUCGGCGCGGCGUGGUCAAUGUGGUCAACGACCGACUUCCAUCGGAAGAGUACUGUACGUGGAGAGGCUGACAGCUGGGUCCACGGCAGCCGCAAGGAAGUGCCUCCUUAUUACGCGGAAAAUAAUUAUUCCUGCACCUGACAGCGGGGACCCACCGGACGGGCCAUCGUAUUUCGUGAAAAAAACGUUUCCCCCCGGACUGCUGGGACCUACCAGCUACAUCUUCGCACGCAAGGAAGUGCGUCCGGGCAAAAAAUAACGAUUCGCCCCCUGACUGCUGGGACCCACCAGCUACAUCUUCGCACGCAAGGAAGUGCCUGACAGUCGGGACCCACCUGGUCGAAGCGUACGUAGCGUUGUCAUUCUGGUCGCGAACGUGUACGUACAUACUGGUCGAUGUAGAGGCGCGCACGUGUCGUAGUAGAGGCGCGCACGUAGCAUGUACACGUACGUACAGCGGCCAGGGUGCAAGAAAGUAAAUGCGGCCACGUACGUACAUACGGGCGGGGUUUCGAACGCCUACUCGCGCGUACGUACGGCCAGGGCUCGUGUACAUGGCUUGGUCGGAACGGAGAAACUGCGUCGUCGUCGUGUUCAUGGGGAGGCAACGGAAUGCGUCGUGUUCAUCGGGAGGCAACAGAACGCGUAGGAGCCAACCGGCUUGGACGGAACAGCCGAUGGAAACGAGGCCUGGCGUACCGCAGAAGGGAGGAAACGGCCUUGUGUUCGACCGGCCACAUUCGAAACGGGAUCCUGUUCAUCAGGAGGGGUCUGGCGUACCGCAAACCAGAGGAAACGGACCUCCUACGGUCGAAACGGGGGUCCUGUUGAUAGGGAAGGGUGUGGUGUACCGCAAAAUGGCGGAAACGGACUUGUGUUGGAGCGCUACGGUCGAAACGGGGGUCCUGUUCAUCGGGAGGGGUGUGGCGUACCACAAAACGGGACUCCUCGGGAUACUGUUCAUCUCCACCGUCGACCCCCUCCAGCCUCCACGGGCUACUGUUCAUCCACCGUCGAACUCCUCCAGCCUCCACCUGCGACCGUUCAUCCACGGGCUCCUGUUCAUCCAGCCUCCACCGCGCGCUACUCCACCGGCUAUUGUUCAACCAGCCCUCUCCACGGGCUCCUGUUCAACCACCCCUCCACGGGCUACUGUUCAUCCAGCCCCCCACCGUCUACUGUUCAUCCAACCCUCCGCGGGGUGGUCCUGUUCAUCCAGCCCUCCACGGGGUCCUGUUCAUCCAGCCCCAACCGGCUCGAUCGGUCGGGGUCCUGUUCAUCCAGAGGCAACACCACGGGGCCCUUUUCAUCCACCCCCACNNNNNNNNNNNNNNNNNNNNNNNNNNNNNNNNNNNNNNNNNNNNNNNNNNNNNNNNNNNNNNNNNNNNNNNNNNNNNNNNNNNNNNNNNNNNNNNNNNNNNNNNNNNNNNNNNNNNNNNNNNNNNNNNNNNNNNNNNNNNNNNNNNNNNNNNNNNNNNNNNNNNNNNNNNNNNNNNNNNNNNNNNNNNNNNNNNNNNNNNNNNNNNNNNNNNNNNNNNNNNNNNNNNNNNNNNNNNNNNNNNNNNNNNGUAGUAUCGAUCAGCUUCAGUUAGCAGCAGUAUCGAAGGAAUCGCUCGAUCUGGUUUAGUUAACAGCCAUCGAUCGAUCGCUCGGGUUCAGUAAGCGUAGCCUGCAGUGCAAUCGCUCGGGUUCAGUUAGAGCCCAACGCCUCGCACCCACGUGCGUGCGUGUACGAGAUAAACGCGUAUCGCUCGGCACCGACCACCCACCGUAACCGGGAACACCCCGAUAUUUUCCUCGCCCUCGCUUCUACCACGGUUUUUUCCGUCAUGGACGGCCCAAAGAAUGUCAUGCAGCUGCGUCUCCGGCCUGCCCAGGACGAAAAGGCCAUUUCUGUCAUGAUUUUUGGUCAUAGAAGUAGGACCCCACCAUAUCUAUGAUGAUACCGGGUUUGUCACAAUUAUCAUCAUAGAAGUGUCAUAAGUAUGACAAAAAAAAAUUCGUUCGGCCCAAAAUGUCAUGGAUGUGUCUUUUUUUUGUAGUGACCAUUGUUUGCCUUCCACUGCAGCAAUUCCAGUGUGGUACCGAGCUUUGUGUUGCCAUCUUCGCAAUUUGGGUACAACCCUUUUUUGUGAUCCUCUAACAUGCGAUCGAACUUCAACUUCUCCUUUUCACUUUCGCAUUGCCUCUUUGCAUCAACAAUGACCCGGCGAAGAUCAUCGGGCACAUCGUCUGGUUCCUCUUGAUCUUCAGCUUCCCCCAUUGCAGCAUCACUGUAUUCAGGGGGCACAUAGUUGUCAUCAUCCUCUUCUUCUUCGUUGUUUUCCAUCAUAACCCCUCUUUCUCCGAGCUUGGUCCAAACAAUAUAGUGUGGCAUGAAACCCUUGAUAAGCAGGUGGGUGUGAAGGAUUUUUCGGUCAGAGUAAGACUUCAUAUUCCCACAUAUAGGGCAUGGACAACACAUAAAACCAUUCUGCUUGUUUUCCUCAGUCACUUCGAGAAAAUUAUGCACGCCCUUAAUGUACUCGGAGGUGUGUCUGUGACCGUACAUUCAUUGCAUGUUCAUCUGCGUGCAUUAUAUAUAAUUAAGUGUGUCAAAAACCAUUACAGAAUAUCAUGAAUACAGAAGUGACCAAAUUAAUAGAAGUUCAUCAUCACAUUAAAACGAAAGUACAGUAGUGAUCAAAUGUUAUUACUGAAAAAUUAAUACAUAAAGUUCAUACAUAUAUAGUUCUCAUUGAACAACAUAUAUAUAGCUCUCUAGAGCAUCUAAUUAAACCAUACAUUGAAACUAUGUAAAACAUUUCAAUGCAACAACAAAUGCGAUAAUAAUCGCAACUAAGGUAGAAAUUGAUCCAACGGCAUAAUAAUACCAAGCCUCGGUAUGAAUGGCAUAUUUUCUAAUCUUUCUAAUCUUCAAGCGCAUUGCAUCCAUCUUGAUCUUGUGAUCAUCGACGACAUUCGCAACAUGCAACUCCAAUCUCAUCUUCUCCUCCUCAAUUCUUUUUAAUUUUUUAUUCAGGUAAUUGUUUUUUUCUUCAACUAAAUUUAACCUCUCGACAAUAGGGUCGGUCGGAAUUUCCGGUUCACAUACCUCCUAGAUAAAAACAUCUAUGUCACGUUGGUCGACAUAAUUGUCAUAAACACUAAAUGAACCAAAUAGUUAUAAAAUAUAAUAUAUACCACAUCUGAUCAUAGACAGGACGAGGGCCGACGGAGGUGGAUACCAAAACCAUCGCACUAUAUAAUAACAAACAAUAAUAAAAGUAAGAAAAUUAUGCAAGUAUCUAUCUAAAUCAUACAAGUAAGAACUUUUUUUAUUUUAGAAAGAAGAUAAGAACAAGAGGCUCACCACGGUGGUGCCGGCGACGAGAUCAGCGCGGGCGAUCGACGGCGGUGAGGACGGGGACGGGACAGGACGGACCGCCAAACCUAGACAAAUCUUGAGAAAAAUUGGAGUUUGGACAAGGAGCUUUGAGAGGAGAAAGCUUAAGUGUGGCUCGGACAUUUCAUCGAACACCUCAUGUGCAUAGGAGGUGAGCUAGAGCACCACAAAGCUCUCCCACGACCGGCCAAAAAAACAGAGCAGUGCACUGCUCUGCUCGCGGGCAGGGGGUAUAUAUAGGUCACUCUUUAGCCCCGGUUCGUGGCUAAAACCGGGACUAAAGGAACACAUUUGGUCCCGGUUCCAGACAUGAACCGGGACCAAUGGGCCUCGCUCCUGGCCCAACAACCUUUAAUCCCGGUUCGUGGCUGGAACCGGGACCAAGGCCCCCGAGGCCCGGCCGGCGCCCUGGCCUCACGAACCGGGACUGAUGCCCCCAUUGGUCCUGGUUCGUAGGGGAACCGGGAUUAAUGCCCUUUUCAGGCCUGGACCAUAGCCAUGUUUUCUACUAGUGCUUAGCUUUCGAGUUGCCUUAAGAACAUGUCUGGGAACCCAGUGAAUAUGUGCACCGGAUGUGACCAUGCUUCUCCAAUUGUUGGAUGGAGAAGUGAUGGCCAUGAUCUGUUGACUCUUGCCAUAUUAAACACAUUGUAUUUCCUUAAAAUCAACCUUUGGUAUUUUUGCUAUGAAACCAAGUUUUGAUACAAAACUAAGUUUCAUGAAGUCUUGGAUAUGGAAGUAAGUUUCAUCAACUUUUUAGAUGUGAAACAUGAUGAAACUUGUGUAUGGAUUAUCAAGUUUUAGAUGAGAUAACUUGUUGGGUUGAUUUUCUGAGUUGAGAUGGAUUGCAGGUUGAUAUUGGUAAAAAAAUAUAAGGUUAUAUUUCCUAAAAAUAGCAGCAACCAAAACCCCAAAGAGCUGGGGUGCACAAUGAUUUUGAUAAAAUACAAGGUUAUUUAUGUAAAUAAGCAGCCACCCAACUUGCGUUGAAUCUUGCUCGUCGCUUUUUCAUCCAAUGGCCUACUAAAAACCAUAGGCACGGUGCACUGGAUACAUUCUCCUGAUGAUUUUAUAUCCAAGCCCAAUCAAACAUAGUCAUACUCGGCGUCUUAAAGUGGUGAUUGGUAAGCUAAUGACACGACAAUGAUGUAAAUCCAUGCACAUUCUACAUGAACACCAUGAAUCAUUCUUUCUCGGUAACUCCAAUAAGUGGGUUUUCAAGAAAUGUGUAACCGAAUGUCAUGUGUAAAUUUCAACAUUGACGUAAUCUGCAUCGUCCCACCAUCGACCUUGUCGUCUCGGACCCGUGUCCUCAAAUUUGAUUCCGGAAAUCUUUUUAGCGUAUGUAAAUUGCCGAAACGGUUUCCAGUUCCGUGGAUCAAACCAAAAUUUGUGCCGACUAAAUCGAAUCACGUGUCAACAAAAGUUUAACGAAGGUUUGAGUGAAUCUUGUCUGAAACGUGGCCGAGCUUAUGUUUCGGCCGAACAUGUUGGCACCCACGCACAUGUCUGAUGUGUGUACGCCCUGGUCGAGACAAAGAGGAGUCCCGGCAAGUUGUACCACGCCACAGACGUACGCCGGGGCCACGUCGCUUUUUACGUUGGCCGUUCGCUGUCACGGGGCGAUCAGGCAGAUCACCAGCCGUUAAAAUUUCUCGUCAGAGCAAGCGAUCGAGCCGGCCGCCGUUAUAUACCACGCGCCCCAGAGCCUUCCCUUGAGCACACUGCACUCCGCAGCCCGCACCACACCAACCAGCAGCACUGCUCUCCUAGCUAGUGCCGGCCACUCGAGCGAGCAAAGCCGCUGCUUCUGUCGGCGGCAGGUAGGUGGCGCCGUGCGUGCGUGAGCUGGUCGGCCGGCGAGGAUGAUGAGGACGGUGGCGGCGGUGGCGGUGGCCGUGCUGCUGGCGGCGGCGGUGGCGGCGGAGGCGAGCGAGCUCAAGGUGGGGUACUACGACAAGAGCUGCCGGGGCGUGGAGAACGUGGUGAAGUGGCACGUCGCCAGGGCCAUCAAGGCCAACCGCAAGAGCGGCGCCGCCCUCGUCCGCCUCAUCUUCCACGACUGCUUCGUCAGGGUACGUACGCCGCCCGCCGUCGUCUCUCUCUCUGUCACUCCGGCCGGCGCGCCACUACUCUGCUCUUUAACCACACGCCCGGCCACUGCUGUCGAGCUAGCAAAAGUACCUCUGCAACGUCCUCCAGAACAGUAGCUCUGGUUAGCUAGCUAGUAAGAGCAGUUUGUCCAUGUCUGCUGCAUUUUCUACUUUACAUGAUGCAUGCACAGUGACUUAGCUCGUGAUCCACAAUGUCGCAGCACAUUCGUACACGAUGCACACACCGAUGUUUUGCUCGUCGAGACCGUGACACUAGACCCCACGUGGCACCGAGCGUGCUACUCCCUCUGUCCCGAAAUAUAUGUCGCUGGACAUAUAUUUUGGGACAAAGGGAGUAGAUACCAACUUUUAUUUUCUGUUUGUUAACAAGAUACUCUUGUACCGUUUUGCAUGCGUUGAGCUAACCAGCUCACCAACAAGUUUAACUAGUCAUAGAUCACCCCCGGAAGGACGACAGCUCAAAUUAUAGAUGAAAAUGCUUGCGAUGUACUCCCUCCGUCCACAAAUGCAAGACCAUUUUAACACUACGAUAGUAUCAAAAAUGGCCUUACAUUUUGGGACGAAGGGGGUACAAUUGGAUUCGAAACUAGAAUGUAUAUAUAUUCUGAAACAGCCAAUCAGUGAAAUGGUUAUUAGUUAAGGACGGAGUUAUCUCGACAGUUAGGAACCAGCAUAAGUUUCAAAGUAGUCCCAGAUGUUAGGCUAGCGGAGUAGUUGGUUUGUGCGUCAUUGUCAUCGCCCGGAUGUGAAUCAUGGAAGCACGUCACUCCUAGUAGCCACUAUACUUAACUUGAAAACAGUUGAACGGCUAGCUAGCUUCCGUGCGCUAGCUGCUCACCAGACAGCAUGGCGAGCACAAAGCUUGCACAGCUAGCCCAGCUGAUGCCGAGGAUAACACUUGCGCAGCCGAACCGAUGCCGCCGGAAUGCGAUGCUUUCCUUGGACAUGUAGACAUCUAAUCGUUUCGAGCUAUCUAGGCCGCUCGCCUUUCACUUUGCUAGGACCCGGCAUCACUGUGCUGCCCAUUGUCAUUAUCUUUGGCUCUCUUCCUCUGCUUUUUUUCUUCUCUUUUCUGCUUUUCUUCCGUGUGCCCGGUGUCGUUGCCUUUUGUCAUUUCUCUGCUUUUAAUUCCCCAUGUGCCUGAUGAUGAUACGCGCGAUAAGAGGCUAUAUUGACAAUCCGCGGUUAUGCGUUGUCAUCAUAGUAGUCAUUUAGAUUUUUCUUCGAAACUUUGUGAAUGAUUGGAUUACUUUGGACGAUAAAUUCUAAGGAUCCGCGGUUAGGCAUCGUGUCCAUAGCUAUCCAGCAUGUGGAAUUUUCUUGGUAAGAGUCAUGUUGUGCUUUCCAUUCCCCUAAGUAGGCAGGCAGCCAGGCACCCCUAUUAAGAGGAGUGUACAAUGCGAGUACAAUACUCGACAACAAAAGGGCGGUUUUUAGUUUUUGUUUGGCAACCUAGAAUAGAUAAGGUCCUUACUUGUAGCAUCCAUACUUGACUACUAGAUGCCGGUACUUGAUGGGUGUUUCUCUUCUCAAUAUACAACUAGCUCUAAAAAGGUAGGUAUAAAGUAGGUAAAGCGUGGAUGAUGAUUGUGAUAUACUUUGUAAUAUACUGUCUUUGAGCAUCAACUAGUGUAAACAAAUCUUGCAUUGUGUAUAUUCUAUAACCAGGAUAGGAAUGUAGUAGUACUAGACUUGGUUAGCUUUUCCCUUGUUCUUUUGCCAUCCAAAGAAAACAAAGAAGAAAGGCAAGCUAUACACUGUAAAGAGAAAGAGAAAGCGCACCUAUAUCAAAGAUCAAUAAAUCAAAGAUCAAUAAUUGGUUGCACCAGUGCUCAAUCCAUCCUCCCAAGUUCAAAUGAUCUGUUGAAAACCUCCUACUGGUACUAUUUGUAUUUAAGAGUAAUUAAUAGGUAAUGGAUUAUAGGUGGAAAACAUUAAACAUGAGUGCCCUUUUCAUCUGAAAAUGAAGGUGCAUACAAGUCUUCCCGAGAUGGUCCAGCUAUCAGUACGUAACUAAUUAGACUAAUCGAUAAUUAUUGCCCAAUAAUGCACAUUGCCGACAUUACAUUCGGAGUAGUACAUGUCUGUCCAACAACUAAAAGGUAAUCAGCACAUUUCAGAUCCGGAUCGUGCUAUAAUAAUGCUUUGCAAGUACCGACGAAAUGACUUCCCAUGCACACUUCAGCUGUGUGAUUGGUUAAAAUGCUUGGUUUGUCCCAUCAAAGCUAACGACUUGUGCUAGUAACGACCAUGCUUAGUUAGUUCAUGCUUGAUUAUGUGCUACUCAAUCUGUUGGAGUACGAUCAACUGGAUAACUGACGGACGGAGCGUACAUACGUGCAGGGCUGUGACGCGUCGGUGCUGCUGGACCCGACGCCGGAGAACCCGCACACGGAGAAGACGGCGCCGAUCAACAUCGGCCUGGCCGCCUUCGACCUGCUCGACGACAUCAAGGCGGCGGUGGAGGACCGGUGCCCCGGCGUCGUCUCCUGCGCGGACAUCCUCAUCUUCGCCGCCCGCGACGCCGCCAGCCUGCUGAGCAACGGCCACGUCCACUUCGACGCCCUGGCGGGGCGCCUGGACGGCGUGCACUCCCACGCGGCGGAGGCGCAGCAGGACCUCCCGGACUCCACCUUCACCAUCGCCGAGCUCAUCCAGAACUUCAAGCGCAAGAACUUCACCAUCGAGGAGCUGGUGAUCCUGUCCGGCGCGCACGCCGUGGGCGUGGGCCACUGCUCGUCGCUCCGCGCCCGGCUCACGGCGCCCGCCGACCAGAUCCUCCCGGCCUACCGGGGCCUCCUCGCCGGGAAGUGCGCCAAGGGCCCGGACCCCAUCGUGCCCAACAACAUCAGGGACGAGGACGCCGGCGCGGUGGCGGCCACCAUCCCGGGGUUCCUCCCGAAGCUGAGGAAGGUCAAGGACUUCCUGGACAACAGCUACUACCACAACAACCUGGCGAGGAUCGUCACCUUCAACUCCGACUGGCAGCUGCUGACGGAGAAGGAGGCGCGGGGCCACGUGCACGAGUACGCCGACAACGGCACGCUGUGGGACGAGGACUUCUCCGACUCGCUCGUCAAGCUCAGCAAGCUGCCCAUGCCGCACGGCAGCAAGGGCGAGAUCAGGAAGAUGUGCCGCUUCGUCAACCACCACUAAGCUUUCCAACUCUCCAAGUUCCUAUCGCUAACGUUUUUCAUGUGUUAAAUUUGCAUCUAUCGAUCGCCUUUGAUUAUUCGUUUGUUGUUAUGUUUUAUUUUCAUUUCUUUUCUUCUUUUAUUUGUGGGAUUGAUUUGUGGACAAAUGUGCGCAUGCGCCUGCGUGCGAUCUGUGUAGAUUUUUUUUUCCUGUCAAGUGUUGUGCCCUUUGGCUGGCUUGGAUACCAUCCAUCAAGGCAUCCAAUGCUCAUGUAAUAAUAAGGGUAAAAGAUGAUGAUGAAGUAAAUUGCGUAGUA
Molecule: long non-coding RNA, 72200 nt
Filed under: Triticum aestivum (bread wheat)
Lineage: Eukaryota; Viridiplantae; Streptophyta; Magnoliopsida; Poales; Poaceae
Description: long non-coding RNA (TAES_LNC014498)
Rfam family: MIR1120/MIR1122 microRNA precursor family (bases 6396-6482)
Source: RNAcentral